CCUCAAUGAAAUCAAGGAUUCUGUUGUGGCUGGCUUCCAGUGGGCCUCAAAGGAGGGUGCACUGGCUGAGGAGAACAUGCGUGGCAUCUGCUUUGAGGUCUGUGAUGUUGUUCUUCAUGCUGAUGCAAUUCACAGGGGUGGUGGCCAGGUCAUUCCAACUGCCAGGAGGGUUAUUUAUGCUUCUCAGCUCACUGCCAAGCCAAGGCUGCUCGAGCCAGUUUACCUUGUGGAGAUCCAGGCCCCAGAAAAUGCACUUGGUGGUAUCUAUGGUGUUCUGAACCAGAAGAGAGGGCACGUGUUUGAGGAGAUGCAGAGGCCUGGUACCCCGCUCUACAACAUCAAGGCUUACCUCCCUGUCAUCGAGUCCUUUGGGUUCUCCAGCCAACUGAGGGCUGCAACCUCUGGCCAGGCGUUCCCUCAGUGUGUGUUUGACCACUGGGACAUGAUGGGCUCUGAUCCUCUGGAGGCCGGCUCCCAGGCUGCUCAGCUGGUGUUGGAUAUCCGCAAGAGGAAGGGUCUCAAGGAGCAGAUGACCCCUCUUUCUGAGUUUGAGGACAAGCUCUAAAUUUUGGUGGUUUGUGCUGCUGUUACCCAUGCUGGUUUCAUGGCCAAUUCGUCUACUGUAACUGGAACUACUUUCAUGUUUCAUUUCCUUUAGUUGUCAGAUGCAUCUGUUUUUGAACAUCAUUGGCCAUAUGGCAUUGUGCUGCUAAGACUGUAUUUUGUUAUCCGGUUGUGAUGUAACAGAUGAAAUAGAGUUCAUAUCUGUGGUUUAAGUGGUAGUAUUUGCGGUAUAAUGCUUGUUUCUACUGCCUUCUGAAAGCCUUUCUUUUGCCUAACGGUAGAGCGGAUUAACUAAGGGUGUUGUAUCAUUUGAUUCAUUUGAUCCUUCAUCAAGGAUGAAGCCAUCUCCUCAUGGGAACACAUUAUUCUACUAUUAGAAGCGAAGAUGUAACAAAUUAGUUGAAAGAGGAGCGUUGAAAGAGGAGCGAACCAUACUUUACUAUAUGGUAAGUAGCAAAUUAGUUACAAGUAGCAAAUUAGUUGAACUUUAGGAUCAUGCACGUUGAACCUUGUUAUCUAGGAUCAUCCAUGGAUCAUGCACGUUGAACCUUGCUAACUAGGAUCAUGCACGUUGACCCUUGUUAUCUAGGAUCAUCCAUGGAUCAUACACGUUGAACUUUGCUAUCUAGGAUUAUCCAUGUAUGCAUCAUGUAGUGCAUCUGUGCAUGCAAUAUUCUGUUAUCUAGGAUCAUCCAUGGAUCAUACACGUUGAACUUUGCUAUCUAGGAUUAUCCAUGUAUACAUCAUGUAGUGCAUCUGUGCAUGCAAUAUUCUGCCCUUAGCUUGGUUUUACUGCCGAUAGCUAUAUAGUGCAUUUAAAUGCUUUUCUUUUGCCCACAGCCCCAGAGGUAGAGAGGACUAACUGUUUCUGUUGCUUUUUUUUUUUACGGUCUACGGGAGAGAGUGUGUGUGUGUGUUGGGGGUGGGAGCGCCCCCACCUGAUUUUCAUUUCAUUGAGGGUCUGUUUCAGGCCAAACGCUGUGUAGAUCAAAAGGAGAUAGAGAGAGGCAGUGUACAUCUGGUUUUGUGAUUGUUUUACAUCGAAGCAAAGACAGUGCACCAGGAGUCGGUUAUCACGCGAUCCUCUAUGCGAAACCGCUCGCGCCAAAGUCGGGCUUCGUCUCGGCAUGCCGACCAGAAGCGUUGUUGAGAUGGAGCGCAGCGCUGGAACACUGGGUCAUUCCGGUGCUUCCAUAACACCCACGGCAGAAGGAGUUUUUUCUUGCUUUGCCUUUAGCUUGGCUUUAAUCCUGUUAGCUAUGCCUAUGUAGAGCAUUUGGUCCUUCGAAUUUUAAAUCGAUGUUGAUUUUGAUUGCAUGCCGUCAUUUUGGGUUGGUUCCAACUAUGUUUUUAAUAUCAGUCGUUCUGAAGGUUACUCUGUUGACACUUGAUUGCAUAACCGUUUGCUAGUUUUGCGUGCAUCCGCGUGCUGGUUCGUCUCAUCAAGAACUAGCCGUUGCUCAAAACUCUGGCUUUCAGGCAUGGCCGCAACAGCCUGGAGGAUGUGUUGCUGUUCUGUAGCUGUAGUGUGCGUCUGUGCUAGUGGAUGCAGGGAGCCAGCGACCUAAAAGGAAUCGUGUAUUAGUGGAUGCAGGACAUCGGCCGUGGCGGCCUGGGGGAGACGACCACGCUCGACAUGAACGGCAGUAAGUUCAAUGGCACGAUCCCGGCGUCGCUUACCGGCCUAUGGAGCCUCCAGUAUCUAGAUGUGAGCGGCAACCGCUUCACCGGCACCAUCCCAGCGUUGCUAUCUGGACUCCGGAACCUCCAGCUUCUCGGCCUGAAUGACAACCUCUUCACCGGCACCAUCCCGGCGGACCUCGGCGAGCUGGCGAGCCUUCACAUGCUGUAUCUGGCAAACAACCAGUUCGAUGCAGGCCAGCUGCCGUCGUCGUUCAAGAACCUGACCAACCUGGUCAGCCUCUGGGCGUCGCAGUGCAACCUCGUCGGAGAGUUCCCGAACUUUCUUUGGAGCCUGAAGGAGCUGCAACUAUUGAAUCUGUACACGAACAACCUCACCGGCAACUUGGUGGUUGAUGGCCUUGUUGCGAGGAACUUGACAGUAAUCGACGUCUCGGAGAACAAGAUCACUGGAGUUAUCCCGAGUGUUUGGGAGCUUGGAGAACCUCAGAGACUUGAACUUCUUCAUGAACAACUUCUCCAGCGAGAUACCAGCCAGCAUCGGCCGGUUGCCCUCACUGACGAGGUUGAGGCUCCACACCAACAUGCUUAACGGCACGCUCCCACCGGAGCUCGGAAAGCAAUCGCCGGGCUUGAAUUAUGUUGAGGUUGAUUACAAUGAGCUCACCGCCGAGAUCCCGGAAGGGCUGUGCACUGGAGACAACCUCCAGCACCUCACCGCCAAGAGCAACCAAUUGAACGGCUCCAUCCCAGCAGGCCUUGCCAACUGCGCCACUCUUGGAACCCUGUCGCUGGACAACAACCAACUCUCUGGCGACGUACCAGAGGCUCUGUGGACGGCGACGAAGCUUUACCAGAGGCUCUUCCGGCCACGGUGCAUCUCAACCUUUCGACGAUACUCAUAGGGAACAACCAAUUUGGUGGCAACAUUCCGGCUGCACUAGCUGCGCUCCAGGUGUUCACCGCCGAGAACAACCGGUUUUCUGGUGCGAUACCGGCGAGUCUUGGCGACGGCAUGCCGCUGCUGCAAAGACUGAACUUAUCCGGUAACCAACUGUCCGACGGGAUCCCCAGAAGCGUUGCUAAGCUAAGCCAGCUGACGGAAAUGGACCUGAGCAGGAAUCAGCUCACCGGAGGCAUACCGGUAGAGCUCGGCGCCAUGCCGGUGUUAAGUGUCCUUAACCUGUCGUCGAACAAGCUCUCCGGCAACGUGCCGCAGGCGCUUGCGAAGCCGACACUCACCGCCCUAACCUGUCCUCGAACCAUCAGACCGGCCAGGUCCCGGCCGGGUUCGCCACCGCGGUCUACGACACCAGCUUCCUCAACAACCCCGGCCUCUGCACCGCCGCUUGGGGACCUGGCUACCUCACGGGCGUACGCUCCUGCGCCGGUGGAUCACAAGACGGCGGUUCCUCCGGAGGCGUGUCGCACGCCCUGCGCAGGGGAACCUCGCCGUGGCGUUCGCCUUCUUCGUCGUCCGCGACAUCAAGAAACGGCGGCGCGUCGCGGAGCAAGACAACUGGAAGAUCACGCCUUUCGUCAAAGAUCUGGGAUUCGGUGAGGCACCCAUACUCCGGGGGCUGACGGAGGAGAACCUCGUCGGGCGCGGGGGAUCGGGGCGCGUGUACCGCGUCGCCUACACCAACCGGCUUAACGGCCGAGCCGGCGCGGUGGCCGUAAAGCAAAUACGGACCGCCGGGAAGCUCGACCAGAAGCUGGAACGCGAAUUCGCGUCAGAGGCUGGCAUCAUCGGCAACCUCCGGCACAACAACAUCGUCAAGCUCUUGUGUUGCCGCUCCAGCGCCGAGUCCAAGCUCCUCGUGUACGACUAUGGACAACGGCAUCCUGGACAGGUGGCUCCACGGCGACGCCCUCGUCGCCGGCGGGCGCCCCAUGGCGAGGGCGCGGUCCGCGCGGCGCGAGCCGCUGGACUGGCCGGCGAGGCUCAGGGUGGCCGUCGACGCCGCGCAGGGGCUGUGCUACAUGCACCACGAGUACGAGCCGCCCAUCGUCCACCGCGACGUCAAGACGAGCAACAUCCUGCUGGACUCGGAGUUCCGGGCCAAGAUCGCCGACUUCGGGCUGGCCACAGGAUGCUGCUGCAGGCCGGGGCGCCGGAAACGAUGUCCGCCGUCGCUGGCUCGUUCGGCUACAUGGCUCCUGGUAAGGAUUCGAACUUGCUGCUUUCAGUGAAUUUCUGUCCCAUUUCUACAAAUGCCACGUGUUCUCGUGUUGCCGGACCUUAGAUUGGGCCUUUUGAUGCUUAUCUGCAGAGUGUGCUUACACCAAGAAGGUGAACGAGAAGGUAGACAGCUUCGGUGUCAUUCUCCUGGAGCUCACCACCGGAAAGGAGGCCAACAACGGCGGCGAGCACGGCUGCCUGGCGGACUGGGCACGGCGCCACUACCAAUCAGGAGGGAGCAUCGCCGACGCCACAGACAAGAGCAUCAGAUACGACGGGUACUCUGACGAGAUCCAGGUUGUCUUCAGGCUCGGCGUGCUCUGCACCGCCGAUAUGCCGUCGUCGCGGCCAACCAUGAACGACGUGCUGCAGAUCUUGGUCAAGUGCAGCGAGCAGACGUACCACAAGGGCAAGACGGAGCGUGGCCCAGAGUAUGAGGUGGCUCUUCUACCCAAACGCGGCAGUCGCCGGAAACAGCUUUCAAACGGCUCGGGGAUUUACAUCGAAGAGAAGAUGACAGCAUUGUCUGAAGAAAGGAACUGACCACUGCAUAUGCCAGUAAGCAGCUUGUGACAUCGUCAGUGAACUGCUUGCUAUAGUGAUACUUCACAUUUUAGCAGAGUACAGCGGAGAAUUAUGCCUCUAAUCUUUUUUUUUCUGAGGAGCUAAGUAUCUUUAUAUUAAAAAGAGAAUAUAAAUAGAAAAAAUCAGUCCAUUGGAAGCAACCACUCUAGCUCACCUAGGAGAAUAGAGAGAUUGCAUAAACAAGCGAAGAAAAAACCGUCACCAGACCUUGACCCUGCACGGCUGGACUAGGGACAUGCAUAGUAUAGAGCAGGGCUUGUGGUUAGCCAAACCGUUCUGUGUAUUGAUACUGCAAAUCUGUAUUAAAUCACACACACAUUAUACGUUCCGACAGAAGAACUAGCAAACAUUACGAUUAUACUCCCUCCGUUCUUAAAUAUAUAACGCUAUUGACUUUUUCAUUUGUUUGACUAUUCAUCUUUUCUACAAAUAUUUUUGCAAAUAGAUAAAUCUACGAGUUAAAUCUAAAGUACAUUUCACAAUAGUCAUAAUGAUACACAUUUUACUUUAGUUAACUAACUCAUUCAAUAGAUAUUGAUGGUCAAAGUUGGAGUAAAAAGCCAACAGCAUCAUAUAUUUAAGAAUGGAGGGAGUAAUUUAUUUCUGAAAUAAAGGCAGGAGAUGGAGCUCUGCUUAUCCAUUCAGAAAUUAGUACGAUUGAAUGAUUUUGUCUCCUUCCAGUUUUUAUUGUAAAACACAGAAUAUUACACGGAUAGGCACUGAUUGUUAUCCGGAAGAAAAUGAAUUUUUAUAUUUCAAAAGAAAAGGCCCAAUUUGCACCCUCUAGCUAGCACGAUAAUCCAAUUUUCAGCUAAACUGACCAUGGGCCGGCCCAAAGGCACAGGAAUUUGGCCCGGUCUAGGCAUGGCGGCCGUCGUGCUCGUGCUAACCCGACCCACACCAUGGGCCGUGCUUGGGCCGUUGCCUCAGCCCACGUACUGGUCCGGCACGGCCUGCCCAUUUGGCCCGUCGGGAUUAAGUGGGCGGCCCAUCCUAUUAAGGCCCACUCGACCGCAUAUAAAACCCCCCACCCCCAAACGGCCAAACCCUACCUUCCUCUUCGUGUCCCGCGCCCUUCGCCGCCGUCACCUCCCCCGCGCCCUUCGCCGCCUCUCGCGCCCGCCGGCCGCUCACGCCCUCCGCCGCUUCCCCCCGCCGCCUCCCUCACGCCCUCCGCCGCAUCCUCCCACCGCCUCCCUCGUGCCCUCCGCCACCUCCCGCGCCCGCCGGCCUCUCGCUCCCCUGCCACCUCCCCCGCGGCCCUCUGCCGCCUCCUACACCCGCCGGUCCCUUGCCGCAAUUGGGGAAGAUGGUGGCCUGCACGGCGGCGCGCGCAAACGUCCUGUCGUCCCUCGGCGGUGGGAGCUGCGGCACGAGUGGGCGCCUGGGCAGAUCCGGGAAAGGUCUAUGGGCGCCCUGACGACGAGGUGGUCGAAGUCAUCGGGGCUAUCGAACUCGACGACGACAGGCGCUACGGGCGUAUGAGCAGAGGAAGGGUGAAUUCUGUGCCGCAGGCUGGCACGAGCACGGUGAGGCCGUUAAGGCCUGCCAGGCCAGCGUGCCAGCACGGCCCACCUAAGAAGGCUGCGGGUCAUGCCUGGACCGCUCCUUCGGCACAUGGGCCGGCACGGCCUGGCACUAUUACCGUGCAAGCCUAACCGUGCCGGGCCUAACCGUGCCAGGCCAAAUCGUGCUCGUGCCAGGCCGGGUUGGGCUACCUGUUUGGCCAUCUAUACAUCCAACGGUUGAAACCAGAUAAAUUUUAUCCUUUAGCUGGUUUCAAAGAUGUUUUUUUGUUUUAUUAGACAUUUAAAAAAAAUCUGAUUUAAUCUUGUUGGGGGGAAAUAUUAACGAUCCCCUAAAUACCACUUAAAGGAGCAGACGCGAAGGCCCGGGCCCACCUAAGCAUAAUCAAAACUCCGCCUCGCCCGACCGCGGCCUCAGGGUCAGGAACGCCCGACCCCCCUCCACGAGGUUUCCGCCUCGUCCGACUGCGGCCCCAGGGUCGAAGGCGCCCGAUCCCUCGCCACAAGGUUCCGCCUCGUCCGACCCCAAGCGCAGGGGUCGGGCUCGCUGGGGCCCCCAGGGCAGGCAUCCCCCUCGGAUGUGGACCAGGUGGGCAAGAUAAACAAAUCUUGCGGGUCCCCCCCCCCAUCGGCCUCGUCAUAAAUGCGCUGCGGGCCUGGCAGAGGGAGGAAUGACCACGCUCCUCACACAACCCGCCGCAAGUACCCAUGCACGACCAUACUGUACAAGCUACAGCGCUGGCGGCUCACUCCCAUUCGCCGCAGGGUACUCAUGGCCUGCGCCGACCGGAGCGGAGGAGAGACUCGCCUGUCCUCGAGCCCCGCGCACCCUCGGGUCCCGUGCGCCUGGCAUCUAGGAUGUGACGCCCUCUCUCCAGGAGCCAUCAUCAGAAUGGCAGCAUCCACCGUCCUCCCCAACGGACACCGGGAUAACGACGAAACGCCCUCAUCAUAACCCGACGCCUACGGAUGCCGAAGGAGCUAUCUGUAGGGUGCAACGACAGUUGGCGCACGGCCGCCUCCCCCUCCGGCAUGCACGCCGGCGCUCGCCAGGAGCCGGCGGAGGCGUCGGGCGUCUAGGAACUUGUUCCUCCCAUCCUGCCGUAUUUUUUACCGUACUACGUUCACAUUUUACGGUCCUCUUCGCCCGAUCCCAACUGUAACUCUGGCCACUCCCCUUGCGAUAUAAAAGGAGGAACACAGGGCCGGAGGGGGGGAUCGGCUUCUUCCCCCUCAAGCCACAGCAUGCUAGUACGCUCCCUGAGAACAUAGGCUCAAAGAGACUUGGGACCAGUCCCUCUCUCGUCGGUCUGUAACCCCUACUACAGAACCCCGCGUGGGCAAUACGAGCAUCCACGAUACUGGACGUAGGGCUCCCUUUGCUCGAACCAGUCUAAUCCGUGUCUCCCACGCCACCAUCUGAGGCCUUACGCGCAUAAAAGAAAUUUACUAGUCUAAGUCUUGAUCCGCCAAUCUUGACAACGACAGUUGGCGCGCUAGGUAGGGGACCUUUGCGCAUACCCUCCCAGCCUCAGAUGGCCAAUUACGAUAGUAGCUUUGCUCCGGGCUCCCUGAUCCGAUUCGGGAGCCUGGACUUCCUCGCCACCGGGGAAGGGAUCAAGCUGAUCCCUGUCCUCAUCCUGCCCGCUCGCCCGCCUGCCCCCGGCCCCGCCGCCGGGACAGCGGUGAGCGGCCGCUCGCAUACCGGAAGGACCUCGCCAGGGGGACGGCCCUUCGGGCUACGCAAUGCCACGGGGGCCUACGGACGCCUCCUAGCGCGGUCCAUGACCGCGUCGCCCGCGAGCAACGAGCUCGUAGGUGCGACAAGGACGAUCUCCGACACCGGCUCCAGCAGCGGGAGCCCCCACCCCUCGCGUGAGUGCCUCGUGGUCGACGAGCACUCUGAGGGAUCCAACAGCAACGAUGCCGAGGAGAGACAAAGGGCUGCCCCUCGCGCGCCGCGGCUAUGACCGGAGCCUUACCAAGGGCACCAGAGUGCUCUCAGCAACGAGAGGCGCGCGCGGGCGCCCGCCAAGAAGUCGAGCACCCCCACCACGAGGGAGGAGCGCGACAACGGGCGCGAGACGUCCAGCGACGCAUCUGCGCGGAUGAAGAGCGUCCGCAGCUUUUCGCCCGCGCCAGCCAAAACGUCGCAGCCGCGGCGGUGUUGCUCCGACAGCUCCCCGAACCAGCGAUGCCCGAGGAGCGACGGGCACGCCAAGAGAUGCGCGACCUGCUCGAAUGCGCCGCCGUCCAGCAGGCGGAAAGCUCCGCGUCCCGGCGACGCGGGCAGAAUGCCAGCAGGGCGACGCCCGACGCGCCCCCGGAAAGGCGGGGGGAAUCAGUCCAUCUACCCCCUCCUGGGGCGAAUCAGGCCGCGUCCGCCCGACGGACUCCACCACCCGCGGGAGGCGAGGCUCGAUCCGUCCACCAGCGCGUCGGCCUCGUCCGCGACGCCCGCGACACCCUAAACGCGCGGAGACGCUCCCGCGCGGACAGGGAGGACGGGGUAGAUCGAGGCUACCACGUCCACCGUGGCGGGCGCUACGACAGCGGGGAAGACCGCAGCCUGAGCCCCGGUCCGGCUGGGCCCCGGGCCUUCUGUGCGCGCAUCCUGAACGCGCCUUUUCCGCCGCGCUUCAGGCAACCCAUGAGUAUAGCCAAAUACUCAGGGGAGACGAAUCCUGGAGUGUGGCUCAGCGAUUACCGGCUUGCAUGUCAAGCCGGCGGGGCGGAUGAUGACCUGUUUAUCAUCCGCAACCUACCCCUCUUCCUAGCCGACUCAACGCGAGCUUGGCUAGAACAUAUCCCUUCGGGACGAGUUCGCAACUGGAAUGACCUGAAGGAGGUUUUCAUAGGGAACUUCCAGGGCACGUACACACGCCCCGACAAUUCCUGGGACCUCCGGAGCUGUCGUCAGGGGGCGGACGAGUCCCUCCGAGAUUAUAGCCGGCGCUUCUCCAGGAAGCGCACCGAGCUCUCCAACGUCGCGGACGCCGAUGUCAUAGGAGCUUUCCUAGCAGGAACCUCCUGCCGGCCCCUCGUCCACGAGCUGGGGUGCCGAGGCCCGCGAACCACGGAGGAGCUCCUCAAUAUCGCCACUAGUUACGCCUCGGGCGAAGAGGCCGUUGGAGCAAUCUUCGACCGCUCCAAAGGCAAGGCGAAACGGGAGGAGGUUGCUGGCGAAGGCACCUCCAACCGCCAGCAGAAGAAGAAGGGCAAGUUACGGCGCGAGGCCCCCCUCGUGGCCGCAGCUGAGCGCAAGCGAGGGCCGCCGCCCCCCGAGGGCGCUCCCGGCUUCUUCGACAAGUUGCUUGAGGGACCGUGCCCGAACCACGAGUUCCCCGUGAAGCACGCCUACAAAGACUGCAACCUCAUGAAGAGAUACUUCAUGGGCAAUUCGGUGAAAGGCGACCGGAAGCGGAAGCCCGAUGAGGAAAAGAAGGGCGACGAAGAGAAGGAAGACGGCUUCCCCAAGGUGGACGGCUGCUUCAUGAUCUUCGGGGGCUCUGCGGCAUACGACACCAAGCGCCAGUAGAAGCUGGAGCGCCGGGAGGUCUACGCGGCCGAGCCAGCGACUCCGGCCUUCCUGGACUGGUCAGGGCCGGCCAUCACCUUCGACAGGACCGACCACCCUGGACGCGUCCGGCACCCGGGGCGUUACCCUCUCGUCGUCGACCCCAUCGUCGGCACGACGCGCCUCACCAAGGUGCUCAUGGACGGAGGCAGCAGCCUCAACAUCCUCUACGCCGAGACCCUCGACGCUAUGGGGAUCGACCGUUCCCGCCUCCAUCCCAGCAAGGCGCAUUUCCAUGGCGUCGUGCCAGGGAAGCAGGCGAUGCCUCUCGGGCAAAUCGACCUGCGCGUUACGUUCGGGACCCCUUCCAACUACAGGAAGGAGGUCCUCACAUUCGAGGUGGUGGGGUUCCGCGGAACCUACCACGCCAUCUUGGGACGGCCUUGCUACGCAAAGUUCAUGGCUAUCCCCAACUACACCUACCUCAAGCUCAAGCUGCCGGGGCCCAACGGGGUCAUCACCGUCGGCACGACCUUUCAGAAGGCGUACGAGUGCGACGUAGAGUGCUGCGAGUACGCCGCGGCCAUCACCGUCACGAGCGAUUCGGCAGUCCAGCUUGCGGAGGCCACCGAGGACCGGCCCGACUCCAGGCAGCCGAACAUCUCCUUCGAGCCCGCUGAAGGUAUCAAGGAGGUCCCCCUUGAUCCCGGUUGUUCCAACGGAGGAGUCGUGCGGAUCAGCGCGGCCCUAUCCCCCAAAUAGGAAAGCGCGCUCGUUGACUUCCUCCGCGCGAACAGCGACGUCUUCGCGUGGAAGCCAUCGGACAUGCCAGGCAUUCCGAGGGAAGUCGCCGAGCACUCCUUGAACAUCAGGGCCGGUUCCAAGCCAGUAAAGCAAGGAUUGCGCCGUUUCGACGAGGAAAGGCGCAAGGCCAUCGGCGAAGAGCUCCAGAAGCUUCUGGCGGCCGGGUUCAUCAAGGAAGUGCACCACCCCGAGUGGCUAGCUAAUCCUGUCCUUGUACCAAAAAAGAAUGGGAAAUGGAGGAUGUGUGUCGAUUAUAACGGUCUCAACAAAGCGUGUCCAAAGGACCCGUUUCCUUUGCCACGCAUAGAUCAAAUAGUCGACUCAACUGCCGGGUGCGAGACCCUCAGCUUCCUCGACGCAUAUUCCGGCUACCAUCAGAUCGCGAUGAAAGAGGCCGACCAGCUCGCUACCUCCUUCAUCACCCCCUUCGGUCCCUACUGCUACGUUAAGAUGCCAUUCGGCCUCAAAAACGUGGGGGCUACCUUCCAGCGAUGCAUGCUGUAGUGCUUCGGAGACCUCAUUGGGCGGACCGUUGAGGCCUACGUUGACGACAUCGUCGUAAAAUCCCGGAGGGGCGACCAGCUCGUUCCCGUCCUUGAACUAGCCUUCGAGAGGCUGAGGGAUAAGCGUAUUAAGCUCAAUCCCAAGAAAUGUGUGUUCGGAGUCCCAAGGGGCAUGCUGUUAGGCUUCAUCGUCUCCGUGCGCGUCAUCGAAGCAAACCCGGAGAAGAUAGCGGCCAUUAGAGACAUGGGGCCGAUCCGGAACAUAAAGGGAGUUCAGCGCAUCAUGGGAUGCUUGGCAGCUCUAAGCCGCUUCAUCUCGCGCCUCGGCGAGCGAGGGCUUCCUUUCUAUCGGCUCCUGAAGAAGACUGACCGUUUCGAAUGGACCAGCGAGGCCCAGGAGGCACUUGACCGACUCAAGGACCUCCUGACGAAGGCCCCGAUCCUAGUCCCGCCUACCGACGGCGAGUCCCUCCUGCUCUACGUCGCGGCGACCACCCAGGUGGUUAGCGCGGCCUUGGUGGUGGAACGAGAAGAGGAAGGACACGCUCUCAAGGUGCAACGCCCGGUGUAUUUCAUCAGCGAAGUCUUGUCCGAGUCCAAGACACGUUACCCGCAGAUCCAGAAGCUCGUCUACGCCAUCCUUAUCACAAAGAGGAAGCUGCGCCACUACUUCACCUCCCACCCGGUAACAGUCAUUUCGUCAUUCCCGUUAGGCGAAGUAAUCCGGAACCCAAAUGCUACAGGGAGAAUCGCGAAGUGGGCGCUUGAGCUCAUGGACCAGGGUAUCACCUACGUCCCCCGCACCGCCAUCAAGUCCUAGGCACUCGCCGACUUCGUGGCAGAGUGGACGGAGAUUCAAACGCCAUCGGCGCCAGAGAAGCAGGAGUAUUGGACAAUGUACUUCGACGGGUCACUGAUGAGGGCCCGCGCCGGAGCGGGUCUCGUUUUCGUCUCUCCCUUGGGCAUGCGCAUCAGGUACAUGAUCCACCUUCAUUUUCCUGCAUCUAAUAAUGUCGCCGAGUACGAAGCCCUCCUCAACGGACUCCGCAUCGCCAUCGAGCUGGGCAUCCGUCGGCUGGACAUCCGGGGCGAUUCCCAGUUGGUCGUCGAACAAGUCAUGAAGGAGUGGAGCUGCCACGACCCCAAAAUGGCAGCCUACUGCAACGAGGUCCGUAAGCUCGAAGACAAAUUCGACGAGCUAGAGCUCAACCACGUCGCAAGGCGCUUCAACGAAGCCGCCGACGAGCUGGCGAAGGCGGCAUCCGAAUGAAUGCUCGUCCCCGACGGCGUCUUCGUUAGCGACCAGUUGAAGCCCUCAAUCCGUUACCCAGAACUGCAGGGGUCGGCGAAGCACCCCCGGCCCUGGGAUCGGGACCCGAGUCAGGGGAGGUCGGCAGCGCGCCACCUGUCCGAGACCCGAGCACCAGCCCCGAGGGGGUCGACAACGCUUUGCCCAACUCGGCCCCGGGAGCCGAUCCGUCCGACCCCGGGGUCAUGGAAAUCACGGCAGAUUCCGCGGCGGGUGCCGACCCCCCGAUCGAUUGGAGAGCCCCAUACAUCGACUACCUCGUCCGCGACACGCUCCCGGCAGACAAAACGGAGGCCCGUAGGAUCGCGCGCCGCGCCAAAUCCUUCGCCAUCAUCGACCAGGAGCUCUACAAGAAAAGCCACACUGGAAUCCUCCAGCGCUGCAUCUCGAUCGAACAGGGAAAGGCGCUGAUCAAGGAUAUCCACGCCGGAGCCUGUGGUCACCACGCCGCGCCAAGGACCCUCGUUGGUAACGCCUUCCGACAAGGUUUUUACUGGCCGACCGCGGUCGCGGACGCUACCCAGGUAGUCCGCACCUGUGAAGGAUGCCAGUUCUUUGCCCGCCAGACUCACCUGCCCGCGCAGGCGUUGCAGACCAUCCCCAUCACGUGGCCAUUUGCGGUUUGGGGGCUAGAUCUCGUCGGACCCUUCAAGAAGGCACCCGGGGGCUUCACCCAUCUGCUCGUCGCCAUCGACAAGUUCUCCAAAUGGAUCGAGGCAAGACCGGUGGCGCAAAUCAGGUCCGAGCAGGUGGUCCAGUUCUUCACCGACAUCAUCCACCGCUUCGGGAUCCCGAAUUCCAUCAUCACCGACAACGGCACACAGUUCACUGGGAAGAGAUUCCUCCAGUUCUGCGACGACCACCACAUCCGAGUGGAUUGGGCGGCCGUGGCACACCCCCGCACGAACGGGAAAGUCGAGCGAGCCAAUGGCAUGAUACUCCAGGGUCUCAAGCCAUGGAUCUUCGACCGCCUUAAAAAAUUCGACGGACGGUGGGUUGCGGAGCUUCCCGCAGUCCUUUGGAGCCUGAGGACGACCCCCAGCCGGGCGACGGGCUUCACCCCGUUCUUCAUGAUCUACGGGUCAGAGGCCAUUUUGCCCACCGAUCUAGAGUACAGAUCGCCAAGGGUCAAGGCAUACGACGAACAGGGAAACCAGGCAUCAUUCGAGGACGCGCAAGAUCAACUCGAUGAAGCGCGAGACGUAGCUCUACUGCACUCGGCUAAGUACCAGCAGGCCCUACGGCGUUACCACAGCCGCAAGGUGCAAGGCUGAGCCUUCAACGUCGACGACUUGGUGCUCCGCCUCGUCCAAGACAACAGGGGUCGGCACAAGUUGACUCCCCCAUGGGAAGGCCCGUUCAUCGUCGUACAAGUUCUACGGCUGGGCACCUACAAGCUGGCAACUCCCGACGGGCAGGUUUUCAGCAACGCCUGGAACAUAGAACAGCUAAGGUGCUUUUACCCAUAGCUUUUAUUUCCAAGCCCUGCAUAAAACUUGUCUUCAAUUCCGAUAUUUCCUUUAAGCUCAGGGGUAUCCGACCCUGGCCUCGUUCCAGGGCCGCAUACCCCUCGGGGGCUACCAGUUUUGCUCCUCUGCGAAAAAAAAGAAACCCCGAGCCGUCUCGGUUCAGGCCUUUUCCUUUAAGCUCAGGGGUAUCCGACCCUAGCCUCGCUCCAGGAUCGCAUACCCCUCGGGGGCUAUCAGAGGUUCCGACCCCAGCCGCUCGGCCCUAUCUAAAAGAAACAUUUUUUCUUUUCAAACCGAACACUCCCUUUCUAGACCUUUGGGCGCAAAAAAGAGAAGGAUGCGCGAACGGUGCUCAGGCAAGUUUGAUCGGACUGCGAAAAAACCUACGCCCCAGCGGCUACGGCACCUUCGCUCAUCAAAACUUAAUGACGCACCCGACAACGCAUUCUAAACUUUCAAGCCCAAAGGAACAGCAAAGGGGAUCGGGAUCUUUCGCACAACGAAGUCAUAAACAAGCCUGUAUGGCCAUCACAAAAUAAGUUCGAAACUAACAUAAUUACAUUUUGGGCACAAGCCCGGUACAGUUAACUUGACGAGGGGUCGGCAGGAGGGAUGACCUCAUCUUCCAGGAGCUUCGCGAGGGCCUCCGCCGGCGCGGACACCGCUGCAUCAAUCCCGUCCAGCUCAGCUUCGGUGUAAUCAGCGGCGUACCCUUCACUCAUCCCGGCAAAGUUGAUGCCAGAAUAAUGGGAGCCGAAGACCCCGAAGGCUCGCCGCAUGCCGACGUGAAGCGCGUCCAUGGCGAUCUCGCGACGUCGACGGCGUACCCCAAGGACACGAGCCGGCAGAGAGCUCGACCCCUCCUCCGGAACUACGCCAAAGUCGUCACAGACGACGCGGACCGCAUCCCGCAAGGCGCCGUGCUCGCCGUGCUCCGCGUCGAGCAAACCCUUCAGCUUGGCGAUUUCGCCUGCAGGAACCACCCAGAAAAGCCCACCAAGUCAAGAACAGAACACAAAAUGUCACGGGAACGCGGGAACGGAAAAAAAAAGCCUCACCGUCGGCCCAGGCCUUCAACUCGCGCUCCCGGUCGGCUCCUUGAGACACGGCGGACUGGAGUCCCUGCACUUGCGAGCGAAGGCGACCAGUCUCCGCGCUAAGGGCUUCACGCUCCCCCCUCAGCUGUGCAAGCUCCCCGGCAUCACGACGGGCCCUCUCAGCGGCAGCUUGAAGCUCCUCGGCGUCGCGGCGGACCCUCUCAGCGACAGCUUGGAACUCCUCGUGGUCGAGGCGGGCUUUCUCGAUGACGGCUUGGAGCUUGGCCUCCGAUCACCGCGCCUCCUCCAACGCCGCCCCCUCACGCCUUUGCAGGUCCCGAAUGACCCCCUGGGCGGCAGUGACUUGCAGGGACAGGUCCCUGGUGCGCUCCCUCUCCGCGUUGAAGCGCUCCCAGAGACCCUGCUGCAGCCGAAGGAAAUCAGAUUUCCCCCGACUGCCCUCUUGGAGGGCCUGCAAAGCAACGUGCCAUUAGAAAAAAAAAAGCAAAAGGGAGGUGCUGAUCACCAACAGUAGGAGCAACAUACCUGGCUGCCAGGGAGGACGGUGUUACCCAGAACCCCCAACGCCGAAGACAGAGCCGCCUCAACGUGGGCAAGGCCGCCCUGCAUCGCCUGCCACUUGUGCCACUCAGUGGCGUCGUCCAGCGUGAAGAGAUGCCUCGGCGGGUCAUCGCGGGAUGACCAGCGAAGGACAGACCCCCUCCACGCCCUGGGAACGGAGGGAGCCGAGGCCGAGGCAGGGGCCGAUCCUGACGCUGCCGUCAAGGUCGGCACCAUUGCACUAGAAGCCGCCGAGUUUACUGACGGCCCCGGCACCUGCACGCUCGUCGCCGCCGAGGCCGCCGGCGGUAUCCCAGUGGGCCCCUCCGCCUCCGCCGCCGGAGCCACUCCCGCGGGGGUAAUUGGGGCGGAGGCCCCCGCCUCCGUCACCGUUGCCUCCGCCGCCGCGCUUUCGGGGGCAGGCGUUCCCUCCGCCACCGAUCCCGCCGCGGCUGCGGGGGCAUCCGCCCUACCUCCCGUCGCCGCCGUCUCCUCUGCCUCGUCGGCGUCGAAGUCGAUCACCUUCCCGGCCUGAGAACCCGGGGGGAUCGUGCCCUGCGCUGUAGGGGCGACUGGGGGGACCGAAGGCGGAGUAGGGUCCGCUCCCCCUCCCACGGCUGACACCGCCGUCGCUCCGCCGGCCGCCACCACAGGGGCCGCCUCCGCGGAGGGGUCCGCGGCCUCACCAGGGACCCCGCCGCUCGCCGCGGGCGGGACCGCGGUCCGCCCCCCAGAGGAGGUUGACAACCGCAACGCCUUCUUAGGCACCAGCUGCAGGGCAAGGCCACGAGGGGCGGCGCUGCAUAUCGACAAACAGACGUCAGCACAAACGAGCGUGAGAAGAGGAGAGGAACGAGGCGCAAGGAAGGCCAACUUACGUCCUUGAAGCACAAGGGCGGCGCGCGCGCUUCGACUCAGAGCCCGACGCCGACCCCGGGGCAUCUGGCAGCGGCCGCUUGUCGCCACUUCGCUGCUCUCCAGUCGCGGGCACGGCGGUGGAGGCAGUCUCUGCAGAUCUCCGAGGAGCACCCUGAGCGGACUCCUGGGGAGCGCCCCGCGCCGGCUCUGAAGUGGCGGCGGGGGCAGGCUCCGAGGACCCCCGAGGGGCGCUCCGCGCCAGCUUUGGGAAGGAGCCCCGUGUCGACCCCUGGGGGGCACCCUUCACCGACCCCUGGGGAGCGUCCCGCGCCCGCUCCUGGGAGGCACCCCGCGCCGGCCCCUGGGGGGCGUUCCGCGUCGACUCCUGGGGGGCGUCUCGUGCCGGCUCCGAAGCGGCGGCGGGGGCAGGCUCCGAAGACCCCCGAGGGGCGCUCCGUAUCGACCCCUGGGGGGCACCCCUUGCCGACCCCUGGGGAGCGUCCCGCGCUCGCUCUUGGGACACGCCCCGCGUCGGCCCCUGGGGGGCGUCCCGCGUCGUCUCCUGGGGACACGCUGUACUGGCCCCUGGGGCGCAGCCCCAGGGCCUGGUGGAGCCGAAGCCCGGGCGGGCGCCUCCUCCACUUCACCUCCCGCGGCCGUCCGCGGGGGUGCCUCACGAAUGGCGAGGGCGCCCGAUCGGAAGGAGGAAAUCAGCUCCUCCUCAUCAUCAUCUUCCUCAUCUUCAUCCUCUUCAUCAUCGUCGUCAUCAUCGUCGUCGUCGUCAUCGAACACGACCGACCCCCUCCGCCGCCGUUGGAACUCCUUAGCGGCCUUCUUCCUCUUCUUCGCCAUCUCGAUGUCCUUCCGGCGCUUCUGCGCCUCGGCGAGGAGACGGUUGUGCGUCCGCCGCUCAACAUCUUCCGGCACCGGCGGGAGCGAGUGCGCGACCCGGGUUAGCGGACCCUACAAACGCAAAGCAGCUCCACGUCAGAGUGACAAUCGCAAGACACGAAGAAAGGAGGAGGACGCCCCAACUCCUUACCAGAUCUAUGAGCCCGCAUCCGGGCGCAUCGGCGGGUGCCCGGGAAUCGGGUACUCGACGUCCUUGUCCUCCAGCGCCUCCCGAAUCCGUUGCCGGAUCUCGGAAGCGACGAGCGCACCCGUCGCCAAGGCGGUGCCCUCGGUCGGCGCGUCGGGGGUCAUGGCGGCAAGCGGUCGGAUUCAGAGCAUCAGUGGCGCCACCCGUCGGGUGUGGUACGCUCCGAUGACCCCGGCGCCGGUGAGCCCGUCCCGCUUCAGCCGCUCGAUGGCCUGCAGCAGGUCGAAGAACCGCUUCUUGUCCUUCUCCACUGGCCCGUACGCCCACACCUCCGGCGCCGCGUCGAUGGUACGGCCGGUGAAAGCCGGCAGGGGGGAGUUCGGGUAGUUCUUCACAUAGAACCACUGGUUGUGCCACCCCUUGUGGGACGCCGAGGUCUUCAUCGUCAUGUUCUCCUUGGAGCGGGUAUGACGAAGGUGGAUCCCGGCGCACCCGAUCGGCACCGGAGGUGACCGCUGCUGGCUCCCUCGCUUCUCCGUCUUCUGGUACAGGCUCACUGUGAAAAAGUAUUUCCACAGCGAGAAGUGGGGCUCAAUGCCUAGGAAUCCCUCGCACAGGGCGACGAACGCCGCAAUGUGCUGGAUCCCAUUGGGUUUGAGGUGCUGGAGCUCGAGCCCAUAGUAGUGGAGGAGCCCCCGAAAGAAGCGGCUCGAGGGAGAGGCGAACCCCCGCUCAUGGAAGUGAGCGAAGGAGACGAUGUAGCCAGAGAGAGGCUCCGGCACCUGCUCCGGGCCCGACAGCAACCACUCAGCCGCCUCCGUCUUCUCGCAGAGGAGGCCUUUUCGCACCAGGCCCUCGGCGCGCGAGGAGGUGAAAUGGGAGAUCCCCCAGGAACCCAUCGCCGGAGGAGGGAGAUCAACGGAGGUGAGAAGAAAGGGCACGGCUUGGAGCAAAGGAAACGAAGCGGGCACGGACAAACUGAACGCUAGGCUGGAGGGCGGAAAGGCUCGAAUGCAGAAGGCGGGCGGAACCGGCGCGGCGGGCUCCCGUUUUUAUAGGAAAGGUACGGGAGAAGCCAAAUCGACGCCCCGGCCGCCAUAAAUGCGGCGCCAGGUACGCCCCUGCCACGCCCGUUUCCUUUUCGAAAACCGCGCGCACGGCCGGCCGCGAAAACAUCCUAUCCUCCUCGAUUCGCGGGAUGGCGCUUCCCAUAACUCCACCUCCCGGAAGGCACGACGUCCCCCACGUUCGGCCCAGACGUCACGACCGCUCCGUUCUGGCCCAAGGCCCACCGAAAGGUAAGAAAGGGAUACGGGGCUGAAAACGCCCCUACGGCCCAUUACGGUCCAGAGGUUCGAAGGCUGGCCCACCGCGGGAUCGACAGCUGCCUCAGGAUAUCUCCCGAGCAAGGGGUGAGAAGGGACGGGUCCACUAGCGGCCAACACCCAGGCAAGCGAAAGCCAAGGGCGUCCCGACCUCACGUUCGAGUCCCGUCCGGUAUAAAGUUCAUGGUUUUUCCACGGGGAAAGGCAACGAGCCCCCGGAUUCGGCCGAACGGACCCGGGAACUAUAUGAACUGGCCGGCGGGAAAUUGUAGUACGCCACCAGCUUGGCCCGAGCCGGACCCCCCCGAACGGGGACCGGGACUCCACUCGAACCUACCUGUUCGCAGCUCAAAGCGAGCACCACGGUUCGUCCAACUAGGAUAACGUGGCACGGCUCAACCCCUCCGUCCUAGCGAACGGACGCUUGAGGGGCAACGACCAAAAGUCGACCUGGCCUCCCGACCGGUCUCCCGCAACGAGCAGGGGCUCGGGGGCUAGCAUCGCAACCAACGACCAUGCGUAUGGUCACGAUUCCCAGGCUCCCCGGCCAAACCGGGAUGAAGCAAGCGCACCAUAAACAAAAUCCACGGAGAAACGGCGAAAGAAGCCUCCGGAGGAGCACUUUUUGCUCCACCACAGGCUCGGGGGCUACUGUUGGGGGGAAAUAUUAACGAUCCCCUAAAUACCGCUUAAAGGAGCAGACGCGAAGGCCCGGGCCCACCUAAGCAUAAUCAAAACUCCGCCUCGCCCGACCGCGGCCUCAGGGUCAGGAACGCCCGACUCCCCUCCACGAGGUUUCCGCCUCGUCCGACUACGGCCCCAGGGUCGGAGGCGCCCGACCCCUCGCCACAAGGUUCCGCCUCGUCCGACCCCAAGCGCAAGGGUCGGGCUCGCUGGGGCCCCCAGGGCAGGCAUCCCCCUCGGAUGCGGACCAGGUGGGCAAGGUAAACAAAUGCUGCGGGUCCCUCCCCCGUCGGGCUCAUCAUAAAUGCGCCGCAGGCCUGGCAGAGGGAGGAAUGACCGUGCUCCUCACACAACCCGCCGCAAGUACCCAUGCACGACCAUACUCUACAAGCUACAGCGCUGGCGGCUCACUCCCAUUCGCCGCAGGGUACUCAUGGCCUGCGCCGACCGGAGCGGAGGAGAGACUCGCCUGUCCUCGGGCCCCGCGCACCCUCGGGUCCCGUGCGCCUGGCAGCUAGGAUGUGACGCCCUCUCUCCAGGAGCCAUCAUCAGAACGGCAGCAUCCACCGUCCUCCCCAACGGACACCGGGAUAACGACGAAACGCCCUCAUCAUAACCCGACGCCGACGGAUGCCGAAGGAGCUAUCUGUAGGGUGCGACGACAGUUGGCGCACGGCCGCCUCCCCCUCCGGCAUGCACGCCGGCGCUCGCCAGGAGCCGGCGGAGGCGUCGGGCGUCUAGGAACUUGUUCCUCCCAUCCUGCCGUAUUUUUUACCGUACUACGUUCACAUUUUACGGUCCUCUUCGCCCGAUCCCAACUGUAACUCUGGCCACUCCCCUUGCGAUAUAAAAGGAGGAAGACAGGGCCGGAGGGGGGAUCGGCUUCUUCCCCCUCAAGCCACAGCACGCUAGUACGCUCCCUGAGAACAUAGGCACAAAGAGACUUGGGACCAGUCCCUCUCUCGUCGGUCUGUAACCCCUACUACAGAACUCCGCGUGGGUAAUACGAGCAUUCACGAUACUGGACGUAGGGCUCCCUUUGCCCGAACCAGUCUAAUUCGUGUCUCCCACGCCACCAUCUGAGGCCUUACGCGCAUAAAAGAAAUUUACUAGUCUAAGUCUUGAUCCGCCAAUCUUGACAACGACAAAUCUAAAAAUCCAUAACUAAUUAAUUUUAAAUCAUAAAAGUUUGAAACUAUUACCCAUCAUCUUUUUCUAGAAUGUUACCUUUUAUGUUGGUUUUUUUGAGUUAUUUGCAUAUUAUUGUCCCCAUCUCUAGUGUUUUAUUGCUUGUAGUCAAACCUACUAUUUAUUUAUUGUUGUUUUGCAUUGUAUGAUUAUUGGAUGCUAUGCGAUACAAAGAUAAUUGUUCAACAACCAUAUGCAUCAUGAAGAAAUUUCCGGAUACGAUUGAUAUUAGUACAUUAUUAACUUCUUAUCAAGAAAUAUCAAUGAAGUGUUUUAUAUGAAUAUUUUUAAUGCACCUUGAGUUUUUGGAUAACCUUUUUCAUAAAAGUUAAUUAGAUGCAUUCUUAACUAAAUAAGCCAUUUGGUAAUUUUUCAAAAAUGUUUAUUUAGGUAACAGAAAAUUUAUUUAUUUAUUCUGGAAAAAGUUUUUUUUUAACGAAGUUAGCAAGGAAAGCACCUACCUAUUCUUUAAUUGUUAUUUUAGAUCCGUUUAAUUCGCUCCCACGAGAAGUUGAAUAUAGACCUGCAGGAUGUUACUCAGGUGCUCUAACCACUAGACUAGAGUCCCUUUCGCUUCUGAAAAAGGUUUUACAAAAAUCUUUUCCCUAUUAUCUUUUGUUAAGUCUGGGAUGUUGCCGCACGUGGGAAAGAAAGAACGGGAAACAUAGACCGAGACCGCUGCUGCGCCGCCACCAUGCUUCGCCGUUGGAGGGUUAGGGUUCGGGGUUUCGGGUUAUGGGUCAUCGAUGGCGCGGCUAUCUCCGAUGUGGCUGGGAUAUAUGGGAGGUUGACGGUGGCUAGGUAGCAGGCGGUGGUGGCGGGUUGUGUGCGGGAUGGCGGGACACCACCAGUUCCGAUUUGUGGAAGACAAUAGGUGGCCUCUAGAGGCAGCGGGGGAAUCUUGGUGAGCUUCCCGCGCGGGGCUGGGUUAGGGCGGCGAAGGAUGGUGGCGGUGGAUGUGGCAGCGCGAGCCGCCGGAGAUGAUGGAGGAUGGCGGCGCGGGCGCGAGCAAAGGAGGACAGUGCGAUGGUGAUCGAGGGUUGCGACCGGCGACGCCGGAUGCAGUGGCGAGAGCCGUCGGAGCUAGAGGAGGAGGGCAGCGCGGGGGCAUGGGCGUGCGCGCUCCUGGGCUGCCAUCACUGAAGGUGACAUUGGUGAUUUUUGUCACCUUCUGUGAUAUAUAGAUAUAGACAUGCUCUAGAUAGAGGACUCCUUGGAGAGACCCCGAGAAUGGAGAUGGGCAUUUGGAGCUCUUCCAAAAUAAGGAAUCUAGAGGACUUGCUAGAAUGCAUUUUUUUUGACUUGGUCCAUUGGAGUUGUUCUAAGCCAACAACUAUUAGCAUCCUUUUAGAUAACUCUGUUAAUCUGAAAUACAACAGUUUCCUACUUUAUGUAUAAUGAGUGUCAUUGCGUCACUACGUACGAGGUCUACUUUAUGGCGGAUCUGAAGGUGUGUUUGGUUGGGAUGUGGCUUUUGGAAAAGCUACUGUGAGCUGUGGGCUGUGAAAAAGUAGCGGGGAGAAAGCAGCUGUGGGAAAAGCAGAAGACCGUUUGGUUAGAGCAGCUACGAAACUGUAGGUUGUGUAAGAAAUACCUGUAAUGCCCCUAAAGGUCUGCGGGUGUGUUUACAUGCAAAUUGCUCAUAACAAAAUAAUGUGUUCACUAAUUCACAUGUAAAUGACUAUUUUAGAAAGGAAAAAAAAUAAAUUUUAUAUGUUCUUCAUCCAUAUAAGUGAUUGGUCCACAUAAAUAGAACAAUAUCCAUCAAAAGGUUUAUACAAUGAUGUCAUCUCUCAACAUUACUGUCCUCCUCUCGCACUAACCAAAGCAUCAACUAUCCUAGCAUGAAUGAUAUUCAUGGUAUCCUCAUUCUCCAUAUCGUCACUCUCAUCUCCUUGUGUUUGUCUCGUGCCACUUGUAUAUUGUACCAAGUACUCCUACAAAACCGAGUUAGUAAGGUACAUAAUAAUACACGUAUUUCUAACUUGAUGAAGGAAUCAUGUAUACCUUUAGGAGGCACGAGAAAUAUGUCUCAAAGCAUUGUCGAGAAAAUUGAAAGAAAAGAUGAUGAACAAAGGAGGGUCAAUUCUUGUUGCUCUUUGGACUAGAGGAUUGACGAUGAUCAUUGCAGUCCUAACAAUUCUCUUGUUGCAGAACAGAGUAGCAACUUCUGAGUAGCAUAUGAUUCUUACAUCUUCCAGGCGAGGUGGCUAGUGUGCUGGAUGAAGUUGAGGUCCCUUGGCAACCUGGCAAACGCCUCCGUCAUGUCUGCAGGCAAAAUUUCCAAAAAAAACAAGAAGAUUUCAACACCACCAACAAAGCAAGCAUGUAAUCACCUGAUUAAUCAAUCAGCAAACAAUUCACAACUAGCAAUCUGUAGAAAUUAGCACGCCAUUACCGUCCUGGGUGAUGAGCGGGUAGUCGGAUGCGUUGAGGUUGACGAACCAGUCCCAGCGGCGGUGAAGGCGGAGCAGCAACGCGACGGCGUGCAGCGUGGUGGUGAGCAUGGUGGGGCCCCGGUAGGUGACGAGGUUGGGCCUGCCGACGAUCCACACGUUGCCCGCGAUCGCGUACACACCCCACCUGGACAUGAGCUCUGCCAGCCGGCAGUGCUCCUCCCCUGGACCGCAGGUAGUUGUUGGCCGGGUGGUACAGUGCCGCCAGCAGCCGCAUCGUGCGGCCCACUUCCCCUGAGGAUGCCGAGAUAAGGUAUGCGAACGAGAUCGGGUACCGCGGCGCCUCGCCGGCGGCACCGUCGAAGGCGGCCAACGAUGAGAGUGUUGACGUCGGUUUUUGACACGUGUCAGGGUCGACGUCAAGAGGAGAAGAAAGUGGCUGAUGCGGUUAAACAAGAAGCUAUGGCUAGAGAAAUCAGUCAGUAAAGCUAUAGUGUUUCAGCCGAUUAGCUAAUGAGAUAGAUGAAGACUGGCCGAUUGGAAGCUAGAAAAGCUCGGCCGAUAUGGGCCUAAAUGGGCCAAGGUGGUAACAAGAUGAAGAUAGGAUUGGCCCAUAGAGGAUUGGAUGGUGUUCGACUCCGAUACAAGUUGUAUCCGUAUGUAAAUAUUUGUUGCUUUGAAUAAGAAAUAGAAUAUUGAGUCAUAGUCGGUUAGGAAACGAGUUGUAACAGGGUAUAAAUAGGUGCCCCGUGAGGCUGGCAAAAACAUCAACAAACAUCAAUACAAAUCUACUUUUUCAUGCAACUUUACUUUCAUGUCGGCGACUUUGCCAAACCCUUUUCUUUUCACGAGUUCGUGUGAGUUGGCAGGGCUGCAUCAACGUGAUCUCCGAGCAAUUUGUAAGUUCCGCGUUUCGAGUAAUAUAUAAGCUUUAACUUUGGGCGUAUCGCUGUUGUUUUGUUUAGAUUUAUUCACUAGUUAUCGAUAUUUGCUAGAAUUAUAGGUUUUAUUCUCCGGUGGAAAGAUUGUGCCUUUGCCUGUAUUUCUCUUGCACUAAACUCAGGCGAUACCUAUUAUCGGCGGAAUGUGUGGUCGCGUGUAAAGUUGAUGUUGUCAAGUAUAUGUUAUCACUGCCGAUCUUGAAGGGAAGGAUUGGAAAAUGUAUUCUGGCACUCUCAGAAUUCGAUCUCAGGUACGAAUCGGCCAAGGCCGUCAAGGGUCAGGUAAGGCUGAUUUCGUCACCCAACACUGUGGAUCAGAAAUUACUGUCGUUGAGCCGGCUCCAUGGACUCUGUACUUCGAUGGAUAUUCGUGUGGGAUUGGAUCAGGAAUCGACAUAAUUCUUAUAUCGCCUCGGGGGGCAAGUUAUGAGUUCUCUCUGCCGAUUGAGGCUUCCGCUACUAAUAAUCAAGCAGAAAAUCGGGCUGUCUUAAAGGGCAUCCAAUUAUUGAGGGAGGUCAAGGCUGACGUGGUAGAAAUAUUUGGGGAUUCCAUGAUUAUCGUGGAUCAGUUGAUUGCAAAGUGUGAGUGCAAGGAUGAUAUUCUAAGGAUUUAUUAUGAGGAAUGCCUCCGGUUGCUCAAAGAAUUCAAGACCGUAACUAUUGAACAUAUCCCUAGGGAUUACAAUGAGGAAGCCAAUAGACUUGCCCAGCACGCUUCUGGCUACUGGCCGAUUCAUGGCGCUUUCGCUCUAGAGCUGGCGGCCGACAACUGGAGGAAGGAGAUCGCCGAUUAUUUAAAGGAUCCAUCCAAGAAAGUUGAUCGGCAGAUACGCUUCCAAGCCACAAAGUAUGUGUUACUUGAAGAUGAAUUGUUUUAUCGGACGAUUGAUGGAGUGUUUCUCAAGUGCCUUAGCAUUGAGGAAGCAAAGAUUUUGAUGGGUGAGAUUCAUGAAGGUCUAUGUGGGACCCAUCAAUCGGCUUUCAAGAUGAAGUCGAUGAUUAGAAACAAUGGGUAUUACUAGCUGACAGUACUUGAAGAUUGUUUCAAAUAUUAUAAAGGCUGUCAGGAUUGUCAAAAAUUUGGCAACGUGCAACGAGCCCCGGCCUCGGCUAUGAACCCGAUAUUAAAGCUGUGGCCAUUUAGAGGCUGGGUAAUUGAUCUCAUCGGUUAGAUCUAUCUGCCGUCAAGCAAAGGGCAUAAGUUCAUAUUGGUGGCGAUUGACUACUUCACCAAGUGGGUUGAGGCGGUUCCUUUGAAUGUUGUGAUGUCGGCCAACAUGAUCGAAUUCAUGAAGGAGCACAUCAUUUAUCGAUUUGGUAUUCCUCAGACCAUCAUGAUUGAUCAGGGGUCAAUGUUUACCUCAGGGAGUUCGAGGAGUUCACUGCCAGUAUGGGAUUAAGCUGUUGAAUUCUUCUCCGUAUUACGCUCAGGCCAAUGGUGUGACGACCCCGGUUAAAUCUUUCGAGUUAAUCUUAAUACGAGCCCCAAAAUUCCUCUGUCUCAGUUUUUCCCGAGCAGGAGUGCUCCACUCCAGUUCCUGUUCCUGACCCGUGAAGACUCUAACUCACCCCGCCAGUUCCUUUUAAGUCUCAACAACAGUGUCCCUUUCAAUCUUGAACAGAGGAAAGACCGAGACUGACGGAUGGACCCGCAAUCUUUUCCCCGGAUCUCCCGAGGCAUACGCACUCGAGCGGCCUGCACCGCUUCAGAGCUCCCCCGCCGCGUGGCUCAACUUCUCCGACGCCCGCCGCUUCACCCAAUCGCCGGCCGGGACAGGAUAGAUUCUCACGCCCUCCUCCCCAAUCGCAGCGGAAGCCCCUCUGCAACCCUUUCUGCUGCGCCUCGUCUCGCUCGCGCCCUCGCCGGCCGCGCCUUGGUGCUCCGACACCGCUGUGGCAGAGCUUUGCCGCUUGCUGCAUCCAAACUACCUCGCAGCUCACGCCCGUCAUCAUCUCACUGGAUCCCCGACUGCAAGGCCCGAUGCCUUCCGACUUUUCCACCGCCUCUACACAGUCGCGCUCGCCUGCGCAGCCGCAGCCUGCCUAUCUUUUCACCGGUUGCAACCUCGCUUGUAGCGCCGUUCUCCCUGUCACACCCAUCAGAUCCGCCGCAUGACGACGCCCGCCUCCGCCAAACCUCAACUACCGGCAAAACCGCGCCUGCGCCGCCUUGUCUCCCGUGCCCAAUAGCCAAGGACCCUAUCUCCGAAAUCCUGUUCCGCCGCCCAUCGACGCCCAGUCGCCGCCAUGGCAGCGCACUCCAUCCUUUUCUUCCGGUCUUCGUGCUACUCCAACUCCCUCUCUCUUUCGCGCAGCUAUAAAAAGGAAUGCCAGAGCCCUACUGGAGAUCCCUUCACCAUCGUUGCCUCGCCGCCUUGUUCCUGAGCGCCGCCACCUAAGUUCUUGAGGAACUCUCAUCUUCGCUCAACACCCGCCCCUCCCAAUCCACCAAGCCGCCUGCUCCUCCACGCUAUGCUAGAGCUUCCUUGUUGCUCACAAGAAGCUCCGCCGCCGCCGGAGCACCGCCGGACAUAGCCGCCACCAAAGCCUUAGUGCUUAAGACCUUCCGCCCAAGUCUACUCCUUCCCGACCCCAAAGCUUCACCUAUAAACCAAAGGUAAGCUGCCGACCCCUUACCGGUUCGCCCGACCCUACCUGUUCGCCUGACCCUACCUGUUCGCCCGACCCCUCUUUCCAUCUCGCCCGACCCUGUCUGUUAGCCGGCCCUUAUCUUCUUCGCCCGAGGACUCGGCUGUACUCUUUUCCUUGACCCGAGGGUAUCUGUGUAAGAUUUCGGGGACUUCUCUGUAAUAGCUUUGAGGACCCCAAACACAUUAAGGCUUAUGGGUCAGAUCAUAAGUUCUUCCAAUUCGACCCUUGGUCUUGUUCUCUAUCCACUGAAGCUUGAACCCCCACACUCUUUCCGUAGCUUUGCUACAAGUUUCUGGGCUAAGACUUGCGAGUGUUGCUGUUGAAAUAACCGUCUAGACACUAACUCCAGCAUUGCAUUCGUGUAGAGUUUCAUCUUGCUGACGGCGUCUACGAACUACACCCGGUGCCAGAAGACGGAGCUGUAGCUGAGCUACCAGUUCCAGAAGCCGAAGUCGCACCAGCUGAAGACCCGCUUCCCUCCCCUCCACUUGAAGGCAAGUCCCGGAGCAUGAACCCCAAAGUUUCCCAAACUUGCGCAUGCCUUCUUUCUCAUGUUUGUGCAUUUACGUAUAGGAGUUGUUUGCAACCUUAGAUGCAUGGUAUAGUUCCUUGAUCGGAACACUAGUUGUUGAAUCGAGUAGUUGCUAUGCUUAAAUAGGAAGUGGUAAAAGUCGAGUGAUUUCCUGUCACUCGCGAGUUAUAGGAGUUGGUUGUUCUCCUUCUGUUACAACUAUAAGGACGAUGGAUGGGGCAAGGUUUUGGUUAACUCUUUUGCUAGUCGGCUGAUCCCCCCGUCUGUCUAUGGAAUCUGUUAAGGCCCGAUAGUGGUGGUGUUCGUGAUCAAGUGUUUGAAAGUACUAAUCUCAUACCUAGUAUGGGAUGGGGAAGCCUAGUACCUGAUUGAACUAGGGCGUGGCUUAUACCCCUGCUGUCCCUGGAACGAGGUUCCCAUGGUGCAUCAUGUGGGUGCAAGUGCGGUCACAGUACGGUAGAGGCCGGGAUUGUGGAGCAUUGCAUGCCAAGGGAAGUUGGACCUGACACGUGCCUGGGAAUUGAUGGGGACGGCUGACACAGGAAGCGACCCUUGUGGUGCGCGGAUGUCGUGAGAUUAGGUUUGCCAUGCAUGGUUAAGAAACUCGAAGGAUUCGUCUGCCUCUCACAGUUUGAGACUGCUUGAUCGCUAUGCUACACUGAUUAAUGAAAGAGUCUGAUGAUGACAUGGUCUUGAUGAGUAGCUUAUAUACAUAAAGUUGGAUCUAUGUUUGCUUAGAGUAAGAUGCCAACGUAGACUGGUUAAUGAACUUAGAAUUUGAGCUAAAACUUGAAAGCAAGGACCUAACGUAGUAGCUUUUGGCAAACAAAACCCCUCAGCCAAAGAGCCUUGCAUGUCUAGACGUGGUGGAGUAGUUUUACCACCGGUCGGUUAAGUCUUGCUGAGCGUAGCAGCUCAACCUUGUUUGUGGCUUUCUUUUCAGGUGAAGUCGCAGCUCCUGAGUUUGCUUCCGUUGGCACUUGGCCGCCCCAGCUCCCUCCGGGUUGGACGGUUGAGUGGGAUCCUUCCUCGGACGGUGAGGAGAGGGAUCAUUGAUGUCCUGAUCGGCCUCAUUAGGGACAUCCGACCCUGGCGCUAGCUUCCGCUAAUUUAGCUUUCCGCUGCUUUUGAAUCUUGUAAAACUCUGAUUUUUGUUUUUAUGUUGAACUAAAUUGUCAAACUUGUUUAACUCAGUGGAUCUGUUGUAUUCUCUGAAACCGCUCACCUUCGUGUGAGUUUCGCUAAUCCGGUCCUGUAAGUGGUUUAAUCGGAGGAAAUCCGACGGCCCUUCGAGUUAACUUGACUAAGGCAUAAGUGUCGCGUGUCAGGCGACUUAACAAUGCUUUAAUCAAGGUAAUCCGAGGUGGUUCCACCACAAAUGGUCAGGCCAAGUCAUCAAAUAAGGGGGUUAUUAAACUGAUUAAAAGGAAGGUCAAAAAACAACCAAGACGGUGGCAUACAACGCCGAAUGAGUCCUUAUGGGCUUAUCGGAUGGCUUGCCGCGGUGCCACCAAGGUGUCCCCUUAUCAGUUAGUAUAUGUGCAUGAAGCAGUAUUACCUUGGGAGUUGAAGACUGGGUCUAGACGUGUGUCACUUCAGAAUCAGUUGUCGGUUGAUGACUAUUCCGCCCUCAUGAGGGGAGAAUUGGAAGAUUUGGCGAAUCAACAGCUAAGGGCUUUGAUCAGCAUUGAGGAAAAUAAGAAAAGAGUCACCAGGUGGUAUGACAAGAAGGUCAAGGUCAAAAGGUUUUCCCAAGGGGAUUUAGUCUGGAAGUUGGUUCUGCUGAUAGUAUGGAAAAUGGUCGCCCACUUGGGAAAGGCCAUAACGGAUUAGCCAAUGUGCUCUAGGCAAUGCAUACAUACUGGAGACUUUUGAGGAAGAAGAAUUUACAAGGGCCUUGAAUGGAAGAUAUUUGAAAAGAUACUACCCUAGUAUAUGUGUAGGCGCUUAGCCGAUGAUGUGGCAUAACGGGCUUUCACGGUCGACGCGUACUGAUUCGUGUUCAUAUAGCCGAUGCAAGGGGCAUCGCCUUAAGAUUGAAAGAGGCGAAAUAGUGUAUAUAUAACUAAACCGAUCAUUAUUCGGUACACCAACUAAAUAUAUGGCCGGCAUGAUACAAGUCGCCCUUAGAUAAAAAGUACCGACACAGUUAUGGGUUACAACGAUUUAACAACGUUUCAUGUGAGCUUUAUUCAUAUCGAUUUCUUUCUGAAGUCGAUCCAAUUCGAUCUGGAGUCGGGCGUUCUUCUCCUCUAGUUCUGCCAUGUCAUCUUCAACAGCAACUUGACAGGGUAACAGAUGGCUUCUUUCGACUGAUUGCCGUGGUUGCCUUCUAGAAGCUUUAGCCUCGAUGUCAUCCACAAUCCUCUUGAUAUUCACGGGGAGGUGAUCUCUGAGUUCCUCACGAUGAGUUUGGAUCAGGUCUUUGUCAGCCUGAGUGAGCGGUUCAUCGGAGUGGAGGAUCUCAAUGGCUCGUUCAAGAUCACGGCUGAGUCGGUUUGGCUACGAGAAGAAUUGAUGAUCAAUUGACAGAGGGAUUGGUCGAGAGAUAGGAGAUUGACUUCGUACCUGAUUGACAGAGGAGGAGGAGGCCAUCUUGGUCGCUCGAUCGAAGAUUUGUAAGCGCGCGCAAGGAAUGGUUGAGUGGGUGUUUUGCGAAUGCCUUCAGAAGGGAUGCGAAGGGUUUGUACUUAUAGAACAGAAUGGCAAUGGACAAAGGUCGGUAAAAGGAGGGCAUUUAAAGAAAGCGACCGUUGAGUCAUAAAAGCUACGUGAGGACUGUUCAGACUUGCAUUUCAGACAAAAACGCCAAAAGUAUCAACGUUACACAAGAUGUUCAAAGGCUGGUUGAGUUCGUUACAACUAUCCGAGGAGAUUGUUUAUGGUCUCAAUCGCUCGCAGGCGAACUUGGUUGGCCACCUCCAACACUCGCCGAUCAUCAUCGGCUGAUCCUAAGACUUCUGGCGCAUUGCGAUGAAGAUGGAUGGCCUCGUGAGUGAGGGAUUGUCUUUCUUGUUUAAAAUCAACGAUGGCGGUUGGAAGAUCUUCAAGUUUCUUUUCUUCGGUAGCGAUAGCCUUUACGACCAGUUCCAUCUCCUUGGUGAGCUCUGCUCUGCGCCAUUUGAGUUGGUCUAUUUCACUGAUGAUGCUUGGAUGAGAAGUCUCAUGGAGACCGAUCUACCGAUGUACGUGUUGUGCACGGUGCUUGUAGGACUCUUCUUCUUGACGCACCAUCUCCAAUUUAGCACGGUCAGCCAUGUGUCGCAAGGCUCUAAACACCGGGACCCGCAUGGUUUCGAUAUAUGCUGCGGGUGUGAGAACCUCUUCUGCGUCUUCUGGGACUUGGCCUUUGAUCUCGUUGAAAAUCCACCGUAUCAGUUUGGCAUCUUCCACCAAUCGACCGAUGUUUUCCUGAAGAAGGGUUCGCAUGUUUUGGAGCUUGGCACGGACAUCUUCUGGUAUUGAGCUCAGAGUUAUUUGGCGUGAUGCAACUUCUUCGUCAUCAGAGACCGCAAUUGCAGAGGAGAAGAGGCUUUUGUUUGGCGUGUCUUACUCCUGCAGGGAUGUGGGAAAGUGUUUUAGCCGAUAAAAGUAAAAAAUCGGCUGGUAGAUAUAGAAGGUUCUUACCUCCUUCAAACAAAUCUCUUCUGCUUGGGUUGGCAGAGUCGUUACUCCCACCUCAGAAGUUUGCGGAGGUAGCUCAUUAGAGGGGGAAGACUUGACAAUGAUCGGCUCUCUAGGCGUAGCUGAUAAUGUGCUUGGACCAGCCUCCUGGAAAAGGAACAAAGGAAUCAUUUUUGAGUAUAAAAUAAUACUGGAUCUAAGUAGAAGUCUCGGUUUUCUUACCUCUCGGACGCGCGCAGCCAACGGUAGCACCAGGGGAAUGACUGACGUAUCUGGAGCGUCCUGUGUCAAGAAUCGUCUGAUUUUAGUUAUCAGAACUGUGGAGACUAAGGGAAGAGCAUGUUCUUUACCUCAAUUUGAAGAUUUGUAGGUAACACAAUUUUAGCUUGAGAAUCGGCCAAUUAAGGAACAGUCUGCUCUAGGAUAGGUUGUACGGCCUGUUGAAAAGAAACAAAUUUAGUAUUGGUGAUACAUAUGAAGAAGUCAGAGCAGAAAGAUUACUCGUGUAGCUUUCACCAAGAGUAACACAAUCGCCGACCCAGCCUCUGAUGCUGCUAGGGGAUCAAUGUCCUGAAUUGCCGACAAUACAUCUGCUUGGAUUGGUGCGGCUGAGGGCUCGACCGAUGUUGCUGCCGAUUGGUGGGUUGUUCGAGUUGUCGUAGAUUCAGUACGAGCUCAUACCCUGCGACUCGUCUUCUUUGUGGUGGAUAUUUUGAGCUUAUGCUUCAAUCGGUUGGUGGCUAUGUCCUCCAUUGAUGGGGCGUGAUAGCCGAUGAGAGGGUACGGUGUGUACGGAUGAUGGGUCUGUAUCAGUCUGCCACUCUAACUGUGCGUUGGAGGCACUUGGCUAUCAACCUGUGCAGGGUAAAAGGAUAAUGAUAAGAAAGUUCUGCAACAUGUGAAAAUUAUUGGUAAGGAAUCGACAAAAAAGUAUUGUUACCUCUGCAUUCGGAUCAGUGUGAGCGGGGUCCAGUUGAUUGCAAUACACUGCAGGGGCCGCACAGGAAAGGUACUGUUUCCACUCGGCCCACCACAAUUUGAAUUGUUGAGUGGAGAAGGGGACCACCAGCCAAGCGCUCAGAUCGAUGGUGUCGGAAUCCGGUGUCAGAUUACACAAUCUGUUGUAUUCCAGUCCUUUUGAAAUCGGUUCUCAAAAUUUCACUCGGCCGACGAAGUGAAUCCGAUUGGUAUUUGUCCCAAGCCAAAUUGCCGAGCUGCUACCGACGGGUUAUAGAACUCAUAUGUUGGAGAGUCCUUGCCAGAGAAGAAAUUUGCCGGUAGAAUCCCAGGUUGAUCAGGGUGUCCAUGAUUCCUUCAUCGAAGGUAUCGGUAGCCUAGUCAAAACAGUCAGGAUUCUAAAAAGUUGGGUUCUCUCUCUGAUAUGGAUACCAAUUCGUCACCUCUUCUUUAAAGCUGUUGUAAAAGCAUCUAAAGUGCUCGGCUAUUCUUGAGGGGGCAAGCUUGCCGCCUGGGAAAGUGGAUACGGCUUCACUAAAGGAAGUACAGCGGCGUCUGGCCAAUGGGUCGGUUUCUGAUUUAACAUUAGGAAAGUCUUGGUCUCAAUCCGCUCCUUGAAGAUUUCGCUCAUAUAUAAGUUGAGCUAGAGAUUGACAAACCACCAAGGACCACCAGGAUUCCUGAUAGGUUCUCCAGAUGAUAGCUUCACGCCGAUGUGAUGCAGCAUGUAAUACACUGACCCUAGUAGAUGCUUUCCCAAAGGGACUGUGGCUCCUCUAACUAGUGCUUCGGCCAAAGCCUGUGUGUUGGAAGUAGGACUGGCUAAUUUACCACAGAAGACAUACCUUUCCUGCCACAUCAUCAAGAAGGUCGUGUGCUCUUUUUCUGUGUUGGGUCCGGUCCUCAUGUUCUUCUCAAUGUAGCCUUUCCAUGUGCUGAUGGCUUUCGUCUCCAGCCGAUGGGUGGGUUUGAUUAAGAAAUCGAAAGGUGAGUCGGUGGAGGAAACAUCGAGGCCAGUCAGCAUCAGAACAUCGGCCAGGGUUGGAGUCAUUGGCCCAUGGUCGAAAAGAAAUGCAUUGAGAGCAUCGGACCAAAAGUAAGAUGCCGCGAUGAGCAGAGAUUCUUUCUUUUCCAUAUGAGAUAGAGAUAAAUUUCUGCAAUGGCCGAUUUUUCGCUCAUCCCAGAAGACUCUGUUGGAAUUUGACAUUCUAAAAAACCAAUCUCUCCAUCCGGGGGUUUGAUUCGGCCAAGACUUGAAAGUGUUCGCCCAAUUGUCUAGUUCCAUGGUCGAUUGCUUAAAAGGGAUCCUGUGAGUUUCUAGUUUAAUCAGAUCGGUUGGGUUAGGAUCUCCCAUAGAGCCAAGAUCGAUGAAUCCAGGGGUGUUGGCCAUGGGAUGGUGAUUCUUUGCCUGAGUUCUUGAGCAAAUGCGAAGAAAGACUAAGAACAGAUCUAAAAUCGCGAAAAGAUGAGGAGAGCCUAGAAGACUUACCUCAGGAACGAAGGUCAUGGUAGCUAUGGGUGCCACCAUUGGAGCUUGGGAGUUGGUGCGGUCGGUGAAGGACGUGAGCAAGUCACUGGAGUGCGCUGGGAUGUGCCUAGAAGUGGCACGAGCAAGGUCGCUGGGGUGUGCCGGGAGAUGAUUCGCUGGAAAGGAAACCCUUUUCGCCCGGAGGAAGAUGAAGCGGCGGAAGAGAUGAGUAUCUGCACGAUGACUCGGGAGAAGGGUAAAUAUGAAAUUUUUACCACGCCGUCUGCGCUAAUUUCGAAAGGAGCGGUUGCCUACAGGUGCUCAGUUCGAAAAAAUGCAAUCAUCAAGGAGAAGAUUUCGGGAGCAAAGAGGGUUUUGCUGCAUUUAUUGUUGCGUCUUUUCUGAAAGAAGGAAUCAGAGUUGAGAAAAUUUCGGAGAAAAAGAUAUGUUUCACUAUGAAGCUGGGAGGCAUGUGUUGAUGCCAGUUUUUAACACGUGUCAGGGUCGGUGUCAAGAGGAGAAGAAAGUGGCCAAUGCGGUUAAACAAGAGGCCAUGGCUAGAGAAAUCGGUCAGUAAAGCUAUAGUGUUCUGACCGAUUAGCUGAUGAGAUAGAUGAAGACUCACCGAUUGGAAGCCAGAACGCUGGAUUUUGACACGUACUUGAAAUCGGUGUCAAAGAAGGAGAAAGGGGGGCCGAUGCGGCGGACUAGAAGCUACAGUUGGGAAUCGGCCGAUUGAAGCUACAAUGUUUCAGCCGAUUGGCGGAAGAAAUUGGUGGAGGCUGGCCGAUUGGGAGUCAAAGCAGUUUGGCCGGUUUGGGCCUAAGGUGGGCCAGGAUGAAUAUUUGCUGAAGAGACAGGCCCGUGGGAAAAUAAUAACCAACUCGAAUACGAGUCGUGUUUGUAACUAUUUGUUGUCGUUUGAAAUUAGAGAUAGAUUCUAGUCGGUUAGGAAAUCAGUUCCAACACGCUAUAACUAGCUACCUCGAGAGGCUUGUAAAAAAAACAACACAUCAAUCAAUACAAAAAAAAUUACUCUUUCCUCGUACUUUACUUUCAAGUCGGCGACUUCGCCAAAACCUUUUUCUUUCACGAGUUCGUACGGAUUGGCAGGGCUGGAUCUACAGGAUCUCCGGCCGAUUCUGUAAGUUCCACUUAUCGAGUAAUACUAAGCUUUAACUUCGGGCGCAUCGCUGUUAUUUUGUUUAGAUUUAUUCACCAGUUAUCGAUAUCAACUAGAGUCAUAGGUUUUACCUGUUAUUUUAGUUUUUAUCACCAAUUAUCCAUCUUGAGGUACGAACUGUCGGUUUUUAUUAUUCUUAUCCUUUAUCAUCACAUAGCCGAUUAGAUCUACUCCAAGUUUUGCUUCUGUAGUGUUGUUUAGGUUGCUGUAAAAGUUUUCCUUAUGAUUGCUACAUGAGUAUCGGCUGUCUUAUAGCCGGUCAUCUCUACGGUAAAUCGGCCGAUUCGCUGAUACGCUCUUCAAGACAGAUCGGAACUCUAGCCGAUCGAAACCCCUAGAAUUUAAUAUUCUUCUUUCCAUGUCAAUCAUUAGGUCAGAUUGACUGGCAUGCCGCGCGAACCGCACUAGGGCAAUAACUCGAACAGGAGCUAAGUAGAUUCUCCUGGGUCGUGUGUCCGACGCUGAGGGUCAUCGGCCAAUUUUCAGCACCAACACACUUUUGGCAUGCCCGGUGGGACCAAACAAGAUCCAACAUGUCGAAGGCUGCUGAGAUCUUUGAAGAUAACGUCCUUGAAGUCAUUGAAGAAAAUCUCAAGGACGAUCAGAAGGAGGAACUGGCGAGGGCUAUAGAAGAAUACAGGAAGACAUGCCUGCAAUCUUUCAUUCGUACCAGAAGCGGGGAGACAGUCAAGAAAGCUCCUCUCUCCACUUCCCGCCAAAUCACCGUCAUCGAGGACUCAGGGAAGAUGUCUGAGAUGAUUCAACAGUCCGUUUAUCAGGCUAUGAUUGACCAAUCCACGGUGAUGACCAACACUGUAUACAACGCCAUCAUCAGCUCCUUGGUUAGCGGCGUAGCUCAGGGGUAUCAGGGACUAGCGUAUGCUCCUCCCAUCGUGGCACCGAUCAGAGGCUUCUUAGCAGCGCCAAACGUGUGUCACUCGACUCCUCAACUAAUGCAGAUGCAACGUGGAGGGUACUACACUUCAAUGCCCCUGGGGUACAAUGGUGCAUCAUUCUAUCAAUCGCAAGAACCGUCUCAUCCUAUGCCAAUUUCAUCCAUACAAUCGCCGCUCUCAAACUCGGCGCCAUGGGGGGUAGCAGCAGCAACCGCCGGUCUGGAUCCGUCAACCAGUUAUGGAAAGUCUCCAGUCCAGGCGUUAUUCCAAUCGGCCGAGGCCGAUAGCCCCGCAAUACCAAACAACCACUUCAGAUAUCGGCAGGAGGACAGGCGCUCUAGAAACACUCAGGGUUGCGGCGUCGAUAAUAUUGUACGAUGAAGUGACAGAUACACUAUGUCAGCAGCCAUCGGCUACUCAGCCGACAACCCAGCCACAAUAUCUGCAGAACACUCCAGUUUAUCACCCGAUCAUGGAACCGCAAAUCCAACAGCACGUACCGAUUCCUCAGCCGGUCGUGCAUCAGCAGCAGGUUGAUUGGACCGCGAAGAUAGCAGAGGUAAUUCAAGAUCAGUUUGUGUUAAAAGCAAAAGUACAAACUUACAUGUACAAGACGCCAUACCCACUUGCCUACGAUCUGUUACCGUUCCCUCAUCGGUACAAAGUCCUUGACUUCACCAAGUUCUCGGGCCUAGACGACACGUUGACUGUCGAGCACGUUAAUAGGUUCAUCAUCCAGUGCAGGGAGGCUGCUACGCAAGAUGCUUUGAUGGUGCGCUUGUUCUCGUCAUCCCUAUCCGGAUCAGCCUUGCAGUGGUUCACUACACUGCCGCCCAACGCCAUCGUUACCUUGGCCGAUUUGGAAAAGCAAUUCCAUAAGUACUUCUAUGCGGGAAUCCACGAGAUGAAACUCUCAGACCUAACUAGCCUCAAGCAAAGAAGCGAUGAGUCGAUGGCCAGCUACAUACAGAGGUUUAGGAAAGUUAGGAACAAGUGCUACACCUUGGUCUGGACUGACACCCAACUAGCCGAUAUCACCUUCCAAGGACUCCUGCCACACAUCAAAGAGAAGUACGCCUCCCAGGAGUUCGAAAGCUUGAGCCAAAUCGUCCAUCGGCUGUCCGGCCAAGAGAUACACCCUUUCGACCAACGAAGGAACUUUCAAAAGAAGGUAGCUUAUGUGGAAGGGUCUGAAUCGGGAGAGAAGGCGGAAAUCGGCCUAGCAGAGUCGGUAAAAGGAAAAAAGCCGAUAUCAUGCCCGUUUGGAAAAAAGGAACCAGAAACAUUCGGCUUUGACACGUCAAAAGCCGACAAAGUCUUCGACUUGCUGCUUCAAGAGGGGCAGAUCAAACUUUCGCCUUACCACACCAUUCCGUCGGCCAAGCAGCUCAAAAAGAUGAAAUACUGCAAAUGGCACAAUACCACAUCCCAAGACAAAAAUGAGUGCAAGAUCUUCCGACAAUAGAUACAAUUAGCCAUUGAGCAAGGAAGACUCAAGUUCGAGGUUCCAGCAAAACCAGUGAAGCCGAUGAAGAUUGAUCAACAUCCCUUCCCCGCCAACAUGGUCAAUGUAGGAAGAAACGCACUCCAAACCAAAGUUUUGAUGUUAGAAUUGGCCAGGAGAAGCGGUGCAGUGGAUCCCAAAAAUCAGGCCACGAUCGGAGAUGUCAAAGGAAAAGGACGGAUGGAAGAAGAAGGUGAAGGAUCAGAAAGGCCACGUCGGCCUGUCACUUCCCAAGACUUACUCAGCAAGUAUCAGCAGCAGCGGGAAGAUUCAAGACGCCACGAAGAGAUGAUGCGCCGACACGAAGAUCACUGGAGGUGCCCGUUUUUCAUCCACUGCUGGGAGAAUAACCUUAGAUUACCGUCGGCUGAUAAUUGCCCUGAGUGCAACGGCCAGUAUCGCAGUGGUCGUCCGUUCAAUAGAUCACGCUCCAAGGAUCGAGGGCUAGAGCCAAUCAGCAGAAAGAGGCACGAGCAAGGAGAUCGGCGCGUUUCAGUGCGUGAUCGGCUGGGGGGUAGAGUUGACCAGCAUAAUCGGCUGGGGGGCAGAACCAGCGCACAUGAUCGGCUGGGGGGUAGAACCAGCGCACAUGAUCGGCUGGAAGAGAUAGCUGACGCCAAAGUCUCAGAUGAGAACCUCCUAGGGUGAGAAUCAGGCUGGGAGCGUGCAAAGCCGCCGAGUAAACCAGUAAACCCCAGAUGGUGCCCAGCCGGUUUGACUAAGUCCUUGAAACGGAGGGUCCAGCGUUUGCACCAAUGGGAGCAGCAAGAAGAAAAACAAAGGUAGGUGAUGGAUAACAAAGGGGACAGGUCUCGAGUAUGGCGUCCUAGAAGAAAAUCCGACGCAGGAGACUAAAAUCAUGAUUCGACAGCUGACUUCAGCAUGAUGUUCAUCUUGCCGAUGGAGUUCAUGCCUCCCGCCGACCGGGACAAUGCGAUAGAGAUAGAGGAGCAAAUGGCACAAUUGGCUCUGGAGCCAAUGACCGCCACUUUUGAGAAACCCGAGGAUUAAAAACGCCAACAUCUCAAGGCCCUGUUCCUCAAAGGACAUGUCAACGGACGACCAGUCACCAAGCUGUUGGUAGAUGGAGGCGCUGCUGUGAACAUCAUGCCCUAUGCUAUGUUCCGCAAAUUGGGCAAAGGUAAAGAAGAUCUAACAAAGACGGAUAUAAUGCUCAAGGAUUUCGAAGGCAACGUAUCUCCGGCCCGAGGGGCACUCUGCGUCGACCUCACCAUCGGGAGUAAGGCCCUACCCACUAUUUUCUUUGUUAUUAAUGGCAAAGGCUCCUACAACAUGUUGCUCGAGCGAGAUUGGAUCCACGCAAACUGCUGCAUCCUGUCUACGAUGCACCAAUGCCUUGUCCAAUGUGUCGGCGACAACAUCGAAGUAGUCAUCGCCGAUUCCACCUAUAGCGUUGCCACGGCCGACGCACAACAGUGGAGCUACGAUCACGUCAAAUUCAAAUAUGGUAGGGUUUGGGACACCAAUUUCCUAAAGGUGUCCGAUUUCGGUCUACAGCCAAUCCAAGCAGUCAGCUCUAAAGAAUCAAGUUAAAAUGGAUCAGUUCAUCUGAGAAGAUGGGAAGCUCGGGCACGGGUUUACGUCGGCCGAUUCAUUGGAGAUGGUGGACCUUGGAGAUGGCAACAAGCCAAAGCCGACGUAUAUUCGUGCUAGGUUAGAACCCGAGUAUAAGCAUGAAUUAAUGAGUCUUUUACGAGAAUUUAAAGAUUGCUUUGCUUGGGAGUAUCAUGAGAUGCCUGGUCUAGACCGGUCCAUCGUCGAACACCGGUUGCCUAUAAAACCAGGGCAUUGGCCGCAUCAGCAACCUGCACGACGUUGUAAUCCUAAAAUUUUACCUGAUAUAAAGGCCGAGAUUACAAGAUUAAUUGAAGCAGGGUUUAUUCGGCAAUGUCGCUAUGCCGAGUGGAUUUCCAAUAUUGUGCCCGUAUACAAGAAAAAUGGAAAGUUACGUGUGUGCAUUGACUUCAGGAAUGUUAAUCAGGCUAUGUCGAUGGAUGGAUAUCCGAUGCCGAUGGCUGAUGUUUUAAUAGACGCCACCGCAGGACACAAAGUCAUCACCUUCAUGGAUGGUAAUGCUGGGUACAAUCAGAUAUUAAUAGUCGAAUAAGAUAUUUCAAAGACGGCUUUCAGAUGCCCAGGCCACCUCGGUUUGUUCGAGUGGGUAGUAAUGAGUUUCGGUUUAAAAAAUGCUGGAGCUACGUACCAACGGGCUAUGAAUUAUAUAUUCCACAAGCUUAUUUGUGUCCUGGUGGAGAUCUACAUUGACGAUGUCGUGGUCAAAUCAAAAGGGUAUCAGGAACACCUGGCCGAUUUGCGAAAAGUGUUGGAAUGCACAAGAAAGCAUGGGUUGAAGAUGAAUCCAAACAAAGUGUGCCUUCGGCGUUUCGGCUGGACAGUUUCUGGGAUUCAUGAUUCACGAGCGAGGCAUCGAGAUCAAGCGAAAAAUUAUAGUUGCUAUCAACAAAGUCGUGGGCCCCCAGAAUAAGACUGAGCUACAGUACUUAAUCAGCAAGGUUAACUUCAUCCGACGGUUCAUAUCUAACUUGUUCGGGCGUAUUCAAGCUUUCACCCCUUUGUUGAAAUUAAAACCCGAUCAAGAAUUUGUAUAGGGUAAGGAAUAGCAGAAAACAUUAGAUGGCAUCAAACAAUACCUAGUCUCGCCACCAGUAUUGGUUCCGCCGCAGGCCAACAAGCCAUUCAAAUUAUACCUAUUGGCUGAUGAACGAGCUAUUGGGUUGGCGCUGGUCCAGGAAUGUGAAGGAAAAUAAAGAGUAAUCUAUUAUGUCAACAGAAGACUCCUGAACGUUGAAACUAGAUAUCCUCCGGUGGAACGGCUGUGCCUUUGUCUAUAUUUUUCAUGCACCAAACUCAGGCACUAUCUGUUAUCGGCAGAGUGCAUAGUCGUUUGCAAAGAUGAUGUGGUCAAGUACAUGUUGUCAUUGCCGAUUUUGAAAGGGAGGAUUGGAAAGUGGAUUCUAGCUCUCUCAGAGUUCGACCUGAGGUACGAAUCGGCCAAAGCUGUCAAGGGGCAAGUAAUGGCCGAUUUCGUGAUCCAGCACUGUGGACCAGAAAUUACUGUCGAACCAGCUCCGUGGACACUAUACUUUGAUGGGUCUGCGUGUGGGGCCGGAUCGGGAAUCGGCAUCAUCCUCAUAUCGUCUCGAGGGGCAAGUUAUGAUUUCUCUCUGCCGUUUGAGGCGUCCGCUACUAAUAAUCAAGCGGAGUAUCGGGUUGUUCUAAAAGGUAUCCAAUUAUUAAGAGAGGUCAAAGCUGACGUGAUGGAAAUUUUUGAGGAUUCCAUGCUCAUUGUAGAUCAAUUAACUGGAAAGUCUGAAUGCAAGGAUGAUAUCUUGAGGAUUUACUACGAAGAUUGCCUCAAGUUAUUGAAGGAGUUCAAGUCUUUGAUUAUUGAGCAUAUUCCCAGGAAUUACAACGAAGAAGCCAAUAGACUUGCCCAACAUCCUUCCGGGUAUCGGCUGUGUUGACGCCAGAUUUUGACACGAGUAAAAUCGGCGUUAGAAGUGGAAGAAAUUAGGAGAUGCGGCGAGAUACAAGGGCAACGAUUGGAAAUCGGCCGAUUGGUGCUACAGUCAAGGAUCGGUUGGUUGGUGCUGCAGUCAAGGAUCGGCCAAUAGAUGCUACAGACGAGGAUCGGCCGAUUGAUCCUUAGAGUUCCGCCUCGCACGACCCCUGGUUUGGGAUCGGACACGCCCGACCCUCCAAGGGAGGAUCUCCGCCUCGCCCGACCCCUGGUUUGGGAUCGGACGCGCCCGACCCUCCAAGGGAGGAUCUCCGCCUCGCCCGACCCCUGAGGUUUGGGAUCGAACGCGCCCGACCCUCCAAAGGAGGAUCUCCGCCUCGUCCGACCUUAGUUCCCAGGGUCGAAAUGAGUCUGAGCCCUCGAUAUGUGGGUCCUGAUCGGUUACCCCCCUUGCCAAAGAGGUGAUCGGCCGAUUAGGAGGUUGGAAUAGUUGGGCCGAUGUGGGCUCAAGAAGGAUUAUGAAGAUGAAGAGGGGGUCAGCCCAUGAAGCGCGUGAAAAUAGUACGAAUCGUACUUGUAAAUAUUCGUUUUCUGUUUAAAUUUAGGGAUAGAGUUCUAGUCGGAUAAGAAGUCGUUUGUACGGGGCUAUAAAUAGCCACCGUUGUAGAUCUGUAAUCAUCAUCAACUCAAUACAACAAACUACUAUUUCCUCGUACUUACUUUCAAGCAGGCGACUUUACCAACACUUUUUCUCCUUUUUCACGAGUUCGUACGGGUUGGCGGGGCUGCAUCAACUUGACCUCCGGCCGAUCUUGUAAGUUCCGUUUAUCGACUAAAUUCUAAGCUUUAACUUCGGGCGCAUCGCUGUCAUUUCGUUUAGAUUUAUUCAUCAGUUAUCGAUAUUUACUAGAAUUCUAGGUUUUACCUGUUGUUCUAGUUUUAUCACCAAUUAUCCAGCUAGGAAUCGGUAAAUUCGGCUUUCUUUAUACUUCUCUGUCUAAUCUAUUUAUUUUAGCCGAUUAGAUCUGUUCCUAGUGUUGCUACUGUAGCGUUGUUUAGAUUACUCUAGCAGUUUUCUUUAUAAACGUUACCUGGUAAUCGGUUGCACUAUAGCCGAUUUCCUUAUUACGGCAAAUCGGCCGAUUCGCUGAUAAGCUUUCUUGAGAUCGGAACCUUAGCUGAUCGCAACCUCUGGGAACUGACACGUUUAUUUCCUUGCCAAUCAACAGUUCAGAUUGGCUGGCUCGCCGCGCGAACCGUACCAGGGCAAUCACCCGAACAGGAGUUAAGCAGAUUCUCCCGGGUCGUGUGUCCGACGCUGGGAAUUCGGUCAGCUGAUUUCUAGUGCCAACACACUUUUGGCACGCCUAGUGGGGCCAAUACAACCGCCACCAUGUCGAAAGCUGCUGAAGUCUCCGAAGAUAACAUCAUCGAAGUGACAGAGGCAGAUCUCAGGGACGACCAGAAGGAAGAACUAGAGAGGCAGACAGCAUACUACCGGAAGACAUGUCUGCAGUCCUUCAGUCGCACCAGGAGCGAGGAGACUAUCAAAAAGGCUCCGUUUCCAACUCCCCGCCAGAUCACAAUCACCGAGGAUUCGGACAAGAUGUCCGAGAUGGUCCAGCAAUCCGUCUAUCAAGCUUUCAUUGAUCAAUCCCCGGUGCUUUCUAAUACGGUAUACAAUGCCGUCAUCAGCUCCUUGGCUAGUGGUGUAUCUCAAGGGUACCAGGGGCCGGCAUAUGUUCCGCUGAUUAUGGCUCCGAGCAAUGCGGCGACAUGAAGAUCACUGGCGAUGCCCGUUCUUCAUCCACUGUUGGGAAAGCAACCUUAGGUUGCCUUCGGCCGAUAAUUGCCCCGAGUGCAACGGCCCGUAUCGUAACAAUCGGCCGUUCAGCAGGUCUCGCUCCAGAGAUGGGAGAUCAGAGCCGAUCAGCAGGAACUGGCGCGACCAAGACAACCGGCGCCCUCCAGUACGUGAUCGGCUGGGGGGCAGAAGUGACCGGUAUGACCGGUCGGAAGGCAGGCGCAAUGAUGGGCCGGGGGCAGAUUUAAUCGACGUGACCGGCCAGAAAAUAGAGUCAGCGUCCACAGACGACUUGAAUAGAUGGCCGAUGCUCGGGUGUUAGAUGAGAACCCUUUAGGACGCGAACUAGAAUGGGAACGCGCCAGGCCACGAACCAAACCGGUGAACCCCAGGUGGUGCCCCGAUGGAUUGACCAAGUCUCAAAAACGAAGAAUCCAACGUCUCCGCCAGUGGGAACAGCAGGAAGAAGAGCAACAGUACACGACGGACGAGAAGAAAGGCAGGUCUUAGGUAUGGCGCCCCAAAAGAAACGACAGAGGAGGCGACAAAUCAGCAGGCGAUGAAUCGGCAGCCGAUAUCGACAUGGUCUUCAUACUGCCGAUGGAAUUCAUGACUCCUGCCGACCAACAGGACAUGUCAGCAAUAGAAGAGUAGAUGGCGCAAUUGGCUUUGGAGCCAAUGACAGCCACAUUCGAGAAGCCCGAAGAAGACAAACGGCAACACCUGAAAGCGUUGUUUCUUAAAGGGCAUGUCAACGGCCGACCCAUCACCAGAUUACUGGUAGACAGAGGGGCUGCAGUCAACAUCAUGCCGUACGCCAUGUUCCGGAAGCUAGGGAAGAGCAAUGAUGACCUGACCAAGACAGACAUGAUGCUCAAGGACUUCGAGGGCAACGUAUCCCCCGCUCACGGCGCUCUCUGCGUCGACCUCACCAUCGGCAGUAAGACCCUUCCUACUACUUUCUUUAUUAUUAAUGGCAAGGGGUCCUACAACAUGCUACUCGGCCGAGACUGGAUACAUGCAAAUUGCUGUAUCCCAUCUACAAUGCAUCAAUGCCUCGUAUAGUGGGUCGGCGACAACAUUGAGGUGGUCACCGCCGAUUCCGCAUACAGCAUCGCGGCAGCCGACACGCAACAGUGGAGCUGCGAAACCGUCAAGUGCAUAUCCGGGAGAGUAUGGGAUACUGACUUCUUGAAGGUGUCCGAUUUUGGCCUACAGCCGAUCCGAGCAGUCGGCUCUGAGGACUCAGAUUAAAUGGAUCAGUUCACCCGAGAAGAUGGGAAGCUGGGACAUGGGUUCACGUCGGCCGAUUCAUUAGAAAUGAUAGACUUAGGCGAUGGCACCAUACCAAGGCCGACAUAUAUUAGUGCAAAUUUAGAUCCGGAAUACAAAUGUAAACUGACAAGUUUGUUAAGAGAACUUAAGGAUUGCUUUGCUUGGGAAUAUCAUGAGAUGCCCGGAUUAGACCGAUCUAUCGUUGAACAUCGGUUACCCAUAAAGCCAGGGUAUCGGCCGUAUCAACAGCCUGCACGGCGGUGCAAUCCUAAAAUCCUACCGGACAUAAAGGCCAAAAUAACGCGGCUAAUCAAAGCAAAAUUUAUUCGGCAAUGCCGUUAUGCCGAAUGGAUCUCCAACAUUGUACCAGUAUAUAAGAAGAACGGAAAGUUACGCGUAUGCGUCGAUUUCAGGAACCUCAAUCAGGCCACACCAAUGGACGGAUACCCCAUGCCGACGGCUGAUGUACUGAUAGAUGCCGCCGCGGGACACAAGGUUAUUAGUUUCAUGGAUGGAAACGCUGGGUACAAUCAGAUACUUAUGGCCGAAGAAGACAUAUCUAAAACGGCCUUCAGAUGCCCGGGUCACCUUGGUUUAUUCGAGUGGGUGGUAAUGACUUUCGGCUUGAAAAAUGUCGGCGCUACGUAUCAGAGAGUCAUGAACUACAUAUUCCACAAACUUAUCGGCAUACUAGUAGAAAUCUACAUCGACGACGUCGUAGUCAAGUCAAAAGGACACCAGGAGCAUCUGGCCGAUUUACGACAGGUGUUGGAAUGCACUAAGAAACAUGGGCUGAAGAUGAACCCGAAUAAGUGUGCCUUCGGCGUAUCCGCCGGACAAUUCUUAGGAUUCAUGGUGCACGAGCGGGGAAUAGAAAUCAAUCAGAAGACUAUAGCGGCCAUCAACAAAAUUGUGGCCCCGCAGAAUAAAACUGAGCUGCAAUCUCUAAUCGACAAGAUGAAUUUCAUCAGGAGGUUCAUAUCUAAUUUGUCUGGGCGAAUCCAAGCCUUCACACCAUUAUUAAAGUUGAAGCCCGACCAGGAGUUCGUAUGGGGGGAAGAGCAACGCAAGGCAUUGGAAGAUAUCAAGCAGUACUUGGUCUCACCACCGGUAUUGGUCCCUCCUCAAACUGGUAAGCCGUUUAAACUAUAUUUAUCAGCCGAUGAACGAGCUAUUGGGUCGGCUCUGGUCCAGGAGUUCGAGGGAAAGGAACGAGUAAUUUAUUAUGUCAGUAGAAGACUUCUGGACGCCGAAACAAGGUAUCCUCCAGUGGAGCGGUUGUGCCUAUGCCUUUACUUCUCAUGUACCAAACUCAGGCACUAUUUGCUAUCAGCGGAAUGUGUGGUCGUAUGCAAGGACGACGUGGUAAAAUACAUGCUGUCACUGCCGAUUUUGAAAGGAUGGAUCGAAAAAUGGAUCUUGGCUUUGUCGGAGUUUGACCUUCGAUAUGAAUCGGCAAAAGCCGUUAAGGGUCAGGUCAUGGCCGAUUUCGUUGCCCAGCACUGCGGGCCAGAGGCUACCUUCGUAGAACCAGUACCUUGGACCUUAUACUUUGAUGGAUCGUCAUGUGGGGCCGGAUCAGGAAUCGGCAUCGUCCUCAUAUCGCCUCGGGGGGCAAGCUAUGAUUUCUCUCUACCGAUAGAAGCAUCCACCACUAACAAUCAAGCAGAGUACUGAGCUGUACUGAAGGGAUUACAAUUGCUAAGGGAAGUCAAAGCUGAUUCCGUCGAAAUUUUUGGGGAUUCCAUGCUUAUCGUGGAUCAGUUAACAGGGAAAUCCGAGUGCAAGGACGAUGUAUUGAGGAUUUAUUACGAAGAUUGCCUCCUGCUUCUGAAAGAAUUCAAGUCGGCAGUUAUCGAGCACAUCCCAAGGAAUCACAACGAGGAUGCCAACAAGCUCGCCCAACACGCAUCUGGGUAUCGGCCGAUUCAAGGCGCCUUGGCUCUAGAGCUCGCGGCCAAUGACUGGCGAAAGGAGAUUGCCGAUUACCUGAAAGAUCCGUCUAAGAAAGUGGAUCGGCGGGUAUGUUUUCAUGCUACCAAAUAUGUGCUACUGGAAGACGACUUGUUCUACCGAACAAUUGAUGGCGUCCUACUCAAGUGUCUAGGAACGGAGGAGGCUAAGACUCUGAUGGGAGAAAUCCAUGAAGGAGUGUGUGGAGCCCACCAAUCGGCACAUAAGAUGAAAUGGAUGAUUAGGAAUAAUGGGUAUUACUGGCCGACGAUCCUCGAAGAUUGCUUCAAAUAUUAUAAAGGAUGUCAGGAUUGUCAGAAAUUCGGGAAUGUCCAACGUGCGCCCGCAUCGGCCAUGAAUCCCAUUAUCAAACCAUGGCCGUUCAGAGGUUGGGGGAUAGACCUCAUCGGCCAAAUUUAUCCUCCGUCAAGCAAAGGGCACAAGUUCAUUCUGGUGGCCACUGAUUAUUUCACCAAGUGGGUGGAGGCAAUUCCGUUAAGGGCCGUGACAUCGGCUGCUAUGGUUGACUUCGUAAGAGACCAUAUCGUCUACCGUUUCGGCAUCCCCCAGACUAUCACGACCGAUCAAGGGACAAUGUUUACAUCAGGAGAAUUCGAGGAGUUCACAGCCGACAUGGGAAUCAAAUUAUUAAACUCCUCUCCGUAUUAUGCCCAAGCUAAUGGCCAGGUCGAAUCUUCCAACAAGGGGAUAAUUAAGUUAAUCAAGAGGAAGAUAGAGGAGCAGCCGAAAAAGUGGCAUCUAUGUCUGACUGAAGCUCUAUGGGCAUACAGGAUGGCUUGCCAUGGGGCCACUAAGAUGUCCCCUUAUCAGUUGGUGUACGGUCACGAGGCAGUACUACCAUGGGAGUUGAGGGCAGGAUCGAGACGCACUUCGCUCCAGGACCAGUUAGCGGCCGACGACUACUCCUCACUCAUGAAAAGGGAACUUGAUGACUUGGCUGGCCAACGAUUGAGAGCUUUGAUAAGCAUCAAAGAAAACAAGAAGAAAGUGGCCAGGUGGUAUGAUAAGAAAGUCAAAGUCAAACAAUUCUCUCCGGGGGACCUGGUAUGGAAGUUAGUGUUGCCGAUCGGGUCGAAAGAUCCUAAAUUCGGUAAGUGGUCCCCUACGUGGGAAGAGCCGUAUAAAAUCGGCAGAUGUGCUCCAGGAAACGCUUAUAUUCUGGAAACAAUCGAAGGAGAGAAGAGUUUACUAGGGCUUUGAACGGAAGAUACUUGAAAAGGUACUACCCUAGUAUAUGGGUCGGAGCAUAAGGAUCGACCAUGAUGAACAACACACAGCCAAUACAAAAGGAUUCGUCUAGAGAAAAAAACGUAAUCGUCCAAAUCGGCCGAUGUAUUUCAUUCGGUACGGACGGUGGGUUACACGGCCGACAAGGUACAAGUUGCCCUUAGAACAAAAAAAAAUUAAUCACGCUUUUUCUUAAGCUCUCUCUCAGCCCGACCUAGUUCUAUCAGAAGACGGAUGUACUCUUCUUUUAUCUCUUUCAUCGAAGCCUCCGCUUCGACUUGACGGGGGAGAGGGUGACUCCGGUCCAUGGCCGGGCGUGAUGUUCCUACUGCUGCAUCUUCAAGGACGAUUUGAUGAGGAAGCGGAUGACUUCUGUCGGCUUGAGGUCGCCGGUGGUCGUUGCUGUCCAGAAAGUCCCAGAUCCAUCGGAUGUCGGCAGGGACGUGCUCUUGGAGUUCGUCGCGAUGAGCUCUGAUUAAAUCCUUAUCUUCUUGCGACAACGGUUCAUCGGAGUGUACAAGUCCGAUGGCUCGUUCGAGUUCGGGGCUAAGGCGCCGUGGCUGCGGAAAGCAACAAUAUACAUAUAGCUGCCGAAAAGGUGAUUCCCUUCAGAAGAGCUAAACUAAGAAAGAGAAUGAAGGCAAAUCUUUUACCUGAUUAACGGAGGAAGAGGUAGAGGAUGGAGAAGACAUGACUGAAAGGCGCACCGACGUGAACAGGUCGAGGAAGAUGAAGCCGAGUUAGAAAGGUACUCUCGGAACGGUCACCUAGGCCGGUGUUUAUAGGAAAGGAAGGCAUGGAUGUUUGGUAAGACGCGUCCCAUCGGGAGUGUGAAAGGUAAUAAAUAAGGGGGCGUCGCGAAGGACGGUCAAAGGGAUCAUUAAAUGUUCGUACAAGAACUGCCAGCACUUUUACAGGUCACCCAGAAGGGCAUCGAUAGCUGCGAUCGCUCGACGCCGGAUCUGAUCGGCAGAGUCCAGGACCCGUUGGUCAUCCUCUGCCGAUCCGGGGACUUCUAACAUAUGGCGGUGGAGUUUGAGGGCCUCGUGAGCCAGAUGCUGCCUCUCUCGUUUCAGAUCGGCAAUGACAGAAGGGAGUUCCUGAAGCCUCUUCUCUUCGGCGUCUAUUGCUUUGGUCACCUGCUCCAUCUCCUUGGCAAGCUCUGCCCUUCGGCGUUUGAGGCGAUCUAUCGUGCCGACGAUCCCCGGGCGAGAGUCUUCCAGAAAGUGAAUCCGUUGAUGCACCUCUUGAGCUUGACGCUUGUACGUGUCUUCUUCUUCACGAGUUUUGGUCAACUUGACGCGAUCGGCCAUGUGGCGCAGGGCCCUAAAGACUGGAAUCCUCAUUGACUCGAUAUAUGCAGCUGGCGCCAAGGCCUCUUCCGCUUCUUCUGGUACUCGCCCGCUGACGUCACCAAAAAGUUGUUGAAUCAGCGAAGCGUCUUCUACCAAUCGGCCGAUGUCCUCUUGAAGAAGGGAUCGGAUGCUUGCGAGUUUGGCACGGACGUCAUCAGGAACGGAGCUCAAAGUGACCUGGCGAGAGGCGACUUCCUCAUCAUCGGAGAGUGCGACCGCAAACGAGAAAAGGCUGUUGUUGGGGGUGUCCUGUUCCUGAAAAAUAGUGAGUCAAGAAGAAGAACAAAUCAGCCGAUGAUGAUAGCAAAUCGGCUGAGUAAGGGUGAGAAAUCUCUUACCUCCUUGAAACGGAUUUCUUCAAACUGCGUUUGGGAGGCUGUUAUCCUCGAUUCAGGGGCUGGUACCAUUGGUUCGUCAGAAGCUGAAGACUCCACCAUGAUUGGUGCUUUGCUCGGGCCAGCUUCCCGAAAGAUGACCAUUGGUUGGUUAGGUGGGGCGCUAAGCGUACCGGUGACCUGUGUCAAAAGAUUGAAUAAGAAUAUUAUCCAAAUACUAGAAAAAUCGGUUGAAGAGUAGUAUACCUCGGCAGACGGAAGCGUGGGCGUGUUGAUGACCGAUUGGGUUGCUGCCGAUUGUUGUGAGUCCACAGAAGUGAUUUGUGUAGUCUAAAAUAAGAUGAGUCAGUAUAGAGAUGGCAAUCGGUAGGAUCAAACAACAAGUUUACCUGCAUGGCCUCCACCAGUAAUGAUGCAGCGGCCGCCCCAGCUUGCGUGACGACUUGAGUAUCUACUUCUCCAGCAGCUGGAAGGGGCAAUGUGGCCGAAGUUUCUGCCGAUGUGAUCGUAGGAGGGUCGGCCGGUUCUGUACGAGCUCGCACUCGGCGACUGGUCUUCUUGGUAACCUUCUUCUGCGCCUGCUUCGAUCGGCCGGCAAUCACAUCCACGGAAGGGGCAUCGUAGCCGAUAAGGGGGAAGAUGGUGUAUAGGUGAUGGUCCUCUAUCGGCCGGCCACUCCGACUGUGUGUUGGGGGAACGCAGUUUUCAGACUGAAGCAACAGCAAGAUGUUAGUGUACAUAUUUAACCGCAUUAAUAAAGGAAUGAAAAUCAGUUAGGGAAAAAAAAUACCUCGGUGUUCGGAUCGAUGUUGGCUGGAUCCAGGAGGUUGCAGUAUGUCGAUGCGGAGGCACAGAAUAGGUACUGUUUUCAUUCGGCCCACCAUAGCUUGAAUGGUUGGACAACAAAGGGGGCUACUAUCCAGUCAUUCAAGUCUAUGGUACUGGAGUCUGGUAUCCGGUCUCGCAGCCGACUAUAGUCAAGACCCUUGGUGAGCUCAUCUCUGAACUUUGCUCGGCCGACGAAGUAUGCCUGAAUCGGCAGUUGACCCAUGCCGAAUUGCCGAGCUGCAACGGAGGGAUUGUAGAAUUCAUAUGUAGGGGCAUCCUUUCCUGAGAAGAAGUUGGCCGGUAAGAUCCCCGGUUUAAUUAGUUCAUCUGUGAGAUCUUCGUCGAAUCAGCCGGUGGUUGAGUCGAAGCAAGAAGGGAGUUCAAAGAUUGGGUCAUCUCUCCAAUAAGGAAACCAGACGGUUGCAUCUUCAUUGAAGCCGUUAUAAAAACACUGGAAGUAUUCGGCCACCUUGGUAGCAGAGUACGAGCAACCAGAGAAGGCCGAUGCCGCUUCGCCGAAAGACAUACACCGGCGUCGGACAGUGAGAUUCUCUGCCGAUUCGACGCUGGGGAAUGUCAUGUGUUCCACUCGCUGCUGAGAGAUCUCGCUCAUGUACAAGUUCAGCCAUAAGUUAAUGAACCACCAGGGUCCACCUGGGUUUCCAAUUGGCUACCCUUGGGAUAGCUUGAUGCCGAUUUGGUGAAGCAUGUGGUAGGCUGCUCCCAGUAAGUGCUUUCCAAGAGGAACAGAAGUCCCUAUUGAUAAUGCUUCGGCCAGAGCUUGGGUAUUGGUAGAUGGACCAGCUGCUCUCCCACAGAAGAAGUGCUUCUCUAGCCACAUCAUCAGGAAGGCCGUGUGCUCUCUGUUGUCGACAGAUCCGGCCCUUUUGUUGCAUCUGAUGAAACCUUUCCACCUGCCGAUUCCCCUUGUGUCCAGCCGAUGUGAUGUUGCGGUUAUAAGGCGGAAAGGGGUGUCCGGGGAAGAAAUAUCCAGGCCGGUCAGGAAGACUACAUCGGCCAAUGUGGGGGUCAUGGGUCCGUGUCCAAACAGGAAUGCGUUGAGAGCAUUGGACCAGAAGUAAGAAGCUGCCACCACUAAUGGCUCAUUCCGUUCCAUUUGGGACAAAGAUAGAUCGAUGCAUUGGCCAAUUUUGAGCUCGUCCCAUUGGACCUUCUUGGAAGCGGUUAUCCGCUGGUACCAUUCCCUCCAACUGGGAGUUUCGUUCGGCCAAGACCUAAAGGUACUCAACCAGUGAUCUAGGUCCAUAGUUGAUUGUUUGAAGGGGAUCCUAUGGGUUUUCCAAAUUGAUUAAGUCGGUUGGAUCUGGAUUUCCCAUGGGUCCAAGACAGAUAAGGCCGAGGUUUUCUGUGAGACGAAUGGUGAUGCGAUGCCUAACCGCCUAAAAAGGAAAAGGGGGUGCGAGGGUAAGAAAUAGAUCUAAAGUACAUGCAUUACUAAUAAGGGAAAGUUUCGGUAAUGACCUCCGGGAUGAAGCUCCUCGUAAUCGGCGGAGUCGCCGGUGCAGCUGCAGACGAUGAAGCUGCCAAUGGGAUCUCGGAUGAAGCUUCAACUUUCGCCAAUGGAGCUCCUUCUUCCGUCGAUGGAGCCGUCGUUAUCGCUACUGGAACCUCCGCCGAAGGCACCAUUUCUGGAGCUUCGCGCAUUGGUGAGGUGCCUGAAGGUGCCGCCAUUGGAAAAGUAGGAGGCAAUGCGAAAGGAAGGAGGCGCUGGAGAAUUGGUGGACUAAGGAAAGUGUUGGAGGAAGAAGAAAGCCUGUGCACUGAAGAAGAUGGACAUGAGCUCGUAAGGAGUACGGGAUGUGCUGAUAUUUAAAGAACGUCUGAGAAGGGGUAAAAGUGGAAUUUUUACCGCGCUGGCGUUUUGAGUUUUUCGGGAGUAGUGGUUGUCGUGGGCACCCGUUUCGAAAAGAUUGCAAUCAUCAGGUUGGAGACCGCGAAAUGGAAGGAUGUUUUCAUUGCGUCUGUUUCGGAUGAGAAGUUGAAAAGAAUUUUGAAGUAAAGACUAUGUUUUACUCCGAAACUGGGAGGCAUGUGUUGACGCCAGAUUUUGACACGAGUAAAAUCGGCGUUAGAAAUGGAAUAAAUUAGGAGAUGCGGCGAGAUACAAGGGCGACGAUUGGAAAUCGGCCGAUUGGUGCUACAGUCAAGGAUCGGUUGGUUGGUGCUGCAGUCAAGGAUCGGCCAAUUGAUGCUACAGAUGAGGAUCGACCGAUUGAUCCUUGGAGUUCCGCCUCGCCCAACCCCUGGUUUGGGAUCGGACGCGCCCGACCCUCCAAGGGAGGAUCUCCGCCUCGCCCGACCCCUGGUUUGGGAUCGGACGCGCCCGACCCUCCAAGGGAGGAUCUCCGCCUCGCCCGACCCCUGAGGUUUGGGAUCGGACGCGCCCGACCCUCCAAAGGAGGAUCUCCGCCUCGUCCGACCUUAGUUCCCAGGGUCGAAAUGAGUCUGAGCCCUCGAUAUGUGGGUCCUGAUCGGUUACCCCCUUGCCAAAGAGGUGAUCGGCCGAUUAGGAGGUUGGAAUAGUUGGGCCGAUGUGGGCUCAAGAAGGAUUAUGAAGAUGAAGAGGGGGUCAGCCCAUGAAGCGCGUGAAAAUAGUACGAAUCGUACUUGUAAAUAUUCGUUUUCUGUUUAAAUUUAGGGAUAGAGUUCUAGUCGGAUAAGAAGUCGUUCGUACGGGGCUAUAAAUAGCCACCGUUGUAGAUCUGUAAUCAUCAUCAACUCAAUACAACAAACUACUAUUUCCUCGUACUUACUUUCAAGCAGGCGACUUUACCAACACUUUUUCUCCUUUUUCACGAGUUCAUACGGGUUGGCGGGGCUGCAUCAACUUGACCUCCGGCCGAUCUUGUAAGUUCCGUUUAUCGACUAAAUUCUAAGCUUUAACUUCGGGCGCAUCGCUGUCGUUUCGUUUAGAUUUAUUCAUCAGUUAUCGAUAUUUACUAGAAUUCUAGGUUUUACCUGUUGUUCUAGUUUUAUCACCAAUUAUCCAGCUAGGAAUCGGUAAAUUCGGCUUUCUUUAUACUUCUCUGUCUAAUCUAUUUAUUUUAGCCGAUUAGAUCUGUUCCUAGUGUUGCUACUGUAGCGUUGUUUAGAUUACUCUAGCAGUUUUCUUUAUAAACGUUACCUGGUAAUCGGUUGCACUAUAGCCGAUUUCCUUAUUACGGCAAAUCGGCCGAUUCGCUGAUAAGCUUUCUUGAGACCGGAACCUUAGCCGAUCGCAACCUCUGGGAACUGACAUGUUUAUUUCCUUGCCAAUCAACAGGUCAGAUUGGCUGGCACGCCGCGCGAACCGCACCAGGGCAAUCACCCGAACAGGAGUUAAGCAGAUUCUCCCGGGUCGUGUGUCCGACGCUGGAAAUUCGGUCAGCUGAUUUCUAGCGCCAACAGGCUCAUUUAUGUCGCCUGACACGCGAAUAUGCACUUUAACCAAGUCAACCUGGUCGACCGUCGGAUUUCAUCCGAUGAACCACUUACACAGGAUCAAGAAGCAUCGCUCAAACGAAGGUGAGUAGCACAGAGGUUACAACAUUCCAUUAUGACAACUUAGUUCCACAAUUUAUUACAUCAGAGUUUCAGAAAUUCAAACAAGUUGCAAGGUUCGAAAAGUCGGAUAAAACAAGCGAAAACUAAACGUCGAUACAGGAUAUCAUGACGAAGUUGAUCAUGACAUCAAAAAUCCCUACCCUCACCGUCCGAGGAGGGAUCCCACUCGAUUGUCCAGCCCGGAGGGAGCUGGGUAGGCCAAGUGGUGCCAGCAACCAAACUAUUGACAUGACCUGAAAAGAUUAAGCCAUAACAAGGCUGAGCAACUAAUACUCAGCAAGACUGACCCGUCGAGUGAAAAGCUUUACCAAGACCUAGACAUGCAAGGCUUUCUGGCUCUGGGAUUACUUUGCCAAAAGCAUCUACAGUCGGUCCUUACUUUCAAUAUUUUAGCUUAAGUUCUACGUUCUUUAACCAGUCUAGAUUAGCAACUUAUACUAAACAAGCAUAAUUUCCAAGUAGUUAAAUAACAAGCAUCAACUUAAUCUCAUAAUCAUGUUUCAUCGUUACUCAGUGCAGAAUAGCGAUCAAGUAGUCCCAAACUGUGAGAGACAGAUGAAUCGAUUCGAAUUUAUUAACCAUGCAUGGCGAACCUAAUCUCACGACAUCCGCGCACCACGAAGGGUCGCUUCAUUUGUCAGCCGUCCCCAUCGAUCCCUUAGGCACGUGUCAGGGCCAAACUGCCUUUGGCGUGCAAUGCUCCACAGUCCCGACCUCUGUCGUACUGUGACCGCCACUGCACCCACAUGAUGCACCAUGGGAACGACGUUCCAAGGACAGCAGGAGUAUAAGCCACGUCCCAGUUCAGUCAGGUACUAGGCUUCCCCAUCCCAGACUAGGUAUGAGAUUAGUACUUUCAAACACUUGAUCACGAACGCUGACACGUUUCAACCUUAGAUCAAUUUCCUUUAGACAGACGGGGAAAACCACCAAGUAUCGAACAUAAGCCCGACCCCGUCCGUCAUCCUUAUAGUUGCAACAUAAAUAAACAUUCAACUCCUAUAACUCGCGAGUGAUAGGAAAUCACUCGACUUUUACUGAAACCUAAUAAGCAUUGCAACUACUCGACUUUAGCAACUAGUAUUCAAACAAGGUACUAAGUUCAUGCAUCUACGGUUUCAAUCAACUCCUACACACGUAAAUGCGCAAACAUAAACAUCAACAUGUUGCAUAAAGUAAAACAGGGAAGUCAUGCACCGGGGCUUGCCGUCAGGAAGAGUUAGCGGGUCCUCGGGGUCUUGAUCCGGCUCAGGCUCGCCUUCCAAGUGGUGAAGCUCCGCAGCGGGGUCUUCCUCCGGUGUCGGGUGGAGCUCGUAGGUUCCAUCGGCGAGAUUUGCUUCUAUACGACAUGCAUAUGCAAAAGUUUAGUUGGACUCACGCGUUUAUUCAACGACACAAGGCUUGGCUUAAGACAAGGAGUUGCAACAGCCACAUUCACUUUGACGAGGUUCAACUUUCAUGCAACUUCAAACGAAUGUGGUCGGUUUAAACUUGAGUUCGAGUUGAAUGGCGAUUGUGUACAUAUAUAGUUUUCUUACACUUAGAGUUGCAUAAAGAGAAUGAAAGGUCGUGUUUGGGUGGUUUGGGUGCAUUAGGAUAGUUACUUACUUCUGAAUGUUUUUAUGUACCUCUUUCAAUUUCCACUUAUUUAUCGUAUUAGAAUUUGUGCUUUCCUUUUAUUCCUUUAGGUUGAUUAAUUAACCAAAAUGACUUCAUAUCCAAACAGCAGCUAAAGGCACUGAUAAAAUUACAACACCUCACUUAAGCCAUAGCUGGGUUACUCUAAAAUUUUGGGGGCCAUUGGAUGACUUAAAAAGGAAUUACAUGCAUUUUAUUAUUAAAGGUAAAAUGAGCUUAACUUUUUCUAUCUUCAAAGUUACUAUGCAACAGAGGGUGAAACUUAACCAGUGUGUUAAGGGUAUGUUACAGGAUCUUUGGCGAAUUUUUCAUAAUUUUUGAAGAAGGUUAACUAUUUACUCUAUUUCCUUUUUAAUUAAACAUGCUUAGCAAGGAAGGUGUUUUUUCUUUCCGAAUUGCACAACAAUUUACAUUUUUCCUGCAAACUUCACAGCAAAACAAAAUUAACCCAACUAGUUUCACAUUUUUUUGAGCUCUGGAUCAAAACGUAUGCAAAAAGGAAGAAUUAAUCUUAGAUUCCCAAAUUAAAGUCAAAACAAUGACUUAAAGUGCUAGACCAGAGCCCUAACCAUUUUUCUGAGCUUCUACACAUAGAAACAAGCAUCACAGAGUUGGUUUUACAUUUUUCCCACUUUUCUUCUAUUUAAUAGGAUUAAAAAGGCCUAAACCAUGAUUAAAAGCAUAUGAUAUUAUUUACAACAGUAACAUGAGCAAACUUAUUUUUCUUAGGAACUAGAUAGAGCAAGGAUUCCAACAAAAGUGGUUUGGUAUUUUUAUGAUUUUUCUACGAUUUACUGGGCAUUUACAAAGUUCAACCAUAUUUCUACCUAUUAUUUAAAAGAAAAGCCGUGGCAAACUUGCAGGUUAGCCCCUGGGUCUAUGGGUUAACUACGCAGAGGUCCCUGAGUUUUGCGCCCAGGCCCCUGGAAAGAAUGGGGAUGAUGCAAUGUAGUCCCCAGGGCGCGCGCGGCGGCGGCGAGGAAAUCCCCGGCGGUUCGUCGGCGGGGAUGGGGCAACAAGUGGUCGGAGGGGUGCGGGGGCUCACCUGAGCUCGGUUUGGUGGGGUUGGGGCGACGGAGAUGGUCGGUAGGGAUCAAAACACGGCGGCGGCGACAGAGCUUGGCUGGUGGCGGUGCAGGCGUCGUUCCGGCGCACUGGCGGCGUCGGGGAGGCCACGGGCUGCUCGGAGACGUGCGCGGAGGGGGGGCGAAGUGGGCGGCGAAGUUGCCGGAGUACGGGGUGGCGCGGAGGGGUGAGCUCCACGGGAGCUUAGCGGCGGCGCUGAGAAGGAAGCAGAGGCGUGGUUGCGAGCGGUGGCAAAGGGUGGCAUUGCCGGUGAGGGGGACCCUUUUAUAGGGCAGCGGUGGAGCGGAGGGUCGAGGUGGGGCUCCGGUGGAGGAAGGAUAAGGCCGGGAGCGGUGCGUGCGCGAGCGAGGCGGCCAUUGGCCAGCGGUGCCAUUGGGCAGGGGAGGCGGAGCUCCGGGUGGUCUCUGGCCGCGAUUGGCCUCGAGCGAUGCGUGUCUGAGGCCUCCGGUCUGUCGGCGGGCGAAGCGGAGGGCCACCGCGGGGGUUGGGCGAGCGGGCGGAGGCGCGGGACGUCGUUGGCGUGGUGGCUUCUCCAGCGGGUGGGCGAAGCGCGGUUGGGCAGAGCAGAGCCGCGGCAGAGGGAAGGGCACGCGCGCGGCCGACGGUUGGCCAGCCCGGCGUUCGCCCCGUCUUGUCGCAGGCGCGGGUUGGGCGCCGUGGCUCUCACCUUAUCGUUGUCUCGCCGGGGAUAGGGCGCCGGUGAGCUGCCGGUGGCCAGCGGCCACGAGGCACGCGGUGCGCGGGCGAACAUGCCCUGGCGCGCGGGCGUUGAGGCCCCUUCGGGCAGUAAGCCCGACCAGCUUUGAGAGAUCCUAUCUCAAGAUUUUGCAACACAACUUCCAAAACUCUUCUAAACAAACUUGUUCAACUCUGGACGUAGUUCAAACUUGGUUUAAGGUGCUGGUUUAGAUUGUGAAAGGAUUUGGAGAUAUCUCAUGCCAAAGUUUGCCAAAAAUAUGGAAAUCCAGACUUAGCCAAUUUUGGCCGGAGAGGUGGAAUUUCAGGAACUUAGCUAUGUUUGAGUCAACUUUAGGGCAGCUUCCAAGUUGAAUUAGACAGAAGUGUUAAUAGAGGAGUUGCUCUCCAAACUGAGGACUUCAACUUCUAUUUAGGGUAUUUCUGGAGUUUAGUUCAGAAAUUUGGAGGAACGCCCUCGCCAAGAGGUGCACUCUGAGCAGUUUUCCAGACUUAGCGUUGUGGUGCUCAGGGGCUGAGUUGACUGCUUUGCUCAACUUUGACCAAGAUUUUGAACAGGUUCUGGUUCGAUUUGGACCUGGGUCAUUGUAACAAACUUGGAAAACACUUGAGGUAUUACAACCUUUAUUAAGAGCCUGACUUGAGUUUAGAUAUGAAAUCGUGAGAUAAAGGCUUGCAAAGUUGGAGGAAAACUUGAAUUCCACGACUUGGAGGUUUAUAGGGUUCUUUAUUAUUCCGGUUUUGAUUCCUGUUUUUGACUUCCUCCCACUCCGAAUUAGCCAAAGUGACUUUAACAAAUAUUGUUUGAAAUUAAAAGUGUUACAACUCUUAUUUGGGCAAAAUUUUAAGUUUGUAUAUAAAAUCUCAAGUUUUAUUUUAAACUCCAUAAAGAGCUUCUUAGGGUUAAAAUGGUCAUUUCACUUCCUUUACUUAGUGAUUAACCACUGGUUUAUAUUUAAAGCACUUAAUUUAGGUAGAGUUGUUACAAGUAUCCACUCACUACUUUACCAAAUGGGUGCAGGCAGUCCCUCUGAAGACCGUGACGUUGGCCGUCAUGAUUGAAUUCAUAAGCGAGCACAUUAUCUAUUGGUUUGGUAUUCCUCAGACUGUUACGACCGAUCAGAGAACAAUGUUUACUUCAGGAGAGUUUGAGGAGUUCACUUCCGAUAUGGAAAUUAAGUUGUUAAAUUCUUCUCCAUAUUACGUUCAAGCUAAUGGUCAGACCGAAUCGUCCAAUAAAGGGAUAAUCAAGUGUAUCAAGAGGAAGGUAGAGGAGCAACCAAAGAGAUGGCACAUGACUUUAAGCGAGUCUUUGUGGGCCUACAGGAUGGCCUGCCACGGCGCUACUAAGGUGUCUCCUUAUCAAUUAGUGUAUGGAUAUGAGGCGGUGCUCCCUUAGGAAUUGAGGAUGGGGUCUAGACGCACGUCGAUUCAAGAUUAGUUGACAGCCGACGAUUAUUCUCUCCUUAUGAAAGGGGAGCUUGAGGAUUUGGUGGGUCAACGAUUGAGGGCCUUGAUCAGUAUUGAAGAGAAUAAGAAAAGACUUGCCAAGUGGUAUGACAAGAAGGUCAAGGUCAAGCAGUUCUCGCAAGGGGAUUUGGUAUGGAAAUUGGUAUUGCCGAUAGGGUCUAACCAUCCCAAAUACGGCUAGUGGUCGCCUACUUGGGAAGGGUCGUAUAAAUCGAUCGAUAUGUGCCAGGAAAUGCAUACGUAUUAGAGACCAUCGAGGGAGAGGAAUUUACAAGAGCCUUAAAUGGGAGAUAUUUGAAAAGAUACUAUCCCAGCAUAUGAGUGGACGCGUAGCCGAUGAUAUAGUGUAUCGAGUCGUUAUGGCCGAUUCCUAUUGACUCGUGUUUAUAUAGCCGAUGCAGGGAGGCAUCGCCUUGAGGACGAAACCUCUAAUCAAAUUGGCCGAUUAUUAUUCGGUACGGUGAUUGGAUACAUGGCCAACAUGGUACAAGUCGCCCUUAGACCAAAAGUACCAAUACAUCUAUCGGGUUACAAUAUGAUUAACUGCAUUUCAACUGGGCUUUGUUUUUAUUGAUCUCUCUUUGGACCCGGCCUAGUUCUAUUAAGAGACGGGUGCUCUUUUCCUCCCUAUCCGCCAUGGCAUCUUUGAGAGCGACCUGGCAGGGUAGCUGAUGACUCCUCUCAAUUGGCGGCUGAGGUGGCUCCCUGGAGCUGUUGGCUUCGAUGUGAUCCACGAUCUUCUUAAUGUGGGUCGGAAGAUGGUCUUUAAGCUCCUCACGGUGGGCUUUGAUCAGGUCUUGGUCCACCUGCAUCAGUGGUUCCUCAGAGUGCAUAAUUUCGAUAACUCGCUCAAGAUCAGGGCUGAGCCGGGUCGGCUGGACAAACAGCGGGCAAUCAGUUGUCGAAAAGAAUUGGUCAAGGAGCGCAAGGCUGAUCUCAUACCUCAUUGACGGGGGAAGAAGAAGACAUCUUGGCGCCCGGUUAGGGAUCUGAAAAUGGUCGAGCAGAGUGUAGAAGGAUGGAUGAGAUACGAGUGCCUCUGGGAGGAAUGUAGGGACCCCAUAUUUAUAGGAGAAAAGGUAAGGGGCAACGGUUGGCAAAGGCAUCUAUUCAAAGCAGAUGAAUGUUGAGCUAAAAGCUGCGAAGAGGAAACGUUCAAGUCCGUAUUCACACAAUGAUGGCAAAAGGGGCAUUAAAUGUUUGUGCAGAGGUGUUCAAAAGAUAAUUCAAUGUUUUGAUACAUUCAUUCAAGAAGAAUAUUAAUGGCCGCGAUUGCCUACUGGCGGAUCUGAUCCGCUGAAUCUAGAACUCGUUGGACAUCUUCGGCUGAUCCAAGAAUUUCUAGCAUGUUGCGAUGAAGCCGGAUGGCCUCAUGCGCAAGGGUUUGCCUCUCCUGCUUCAGAUCAGCGAUGACGGUCGUGAGAUCAUGAAGAUUAUUCUUUUUGGCGGUUAUAGCCUUUGUCACCUACUCCAUCUCCUUGGCAAUCUCUGCCCUAUGCUAUUUGAGACGGUCUAUUGUGCCGACGAUGUCUGGGCGAGAAUUUUCGAGUACGCCGAUUCGGUGAUGUACCUCUUGAGCUCGGUGUUUGUAGGAAUCCUUCUCUUCACAUGGCUUUGCCAGCUUGGCAUGAACGGCCAUGUGCCGCAGGGCUCUGAACACCGGGAUUUGCAUUGACUCGAUGUAUGUAGGAGGUGCAAGAGCUUUUUCUACAUCCUUCAGGACUCGGCCUUUUAUUUCGCUGAAGAUUUGCCAAAUCGGCGAAGCGUCUUCCACCAAUCGGCCGAUGUCAUCUUGAAGAAGUGCUCGGAUUCUCUGGAGCUUUGCACGUACUUCUUCCGAAAUUGAACCUGGAGCCACUUGUCGAGAGGCUACCUCUUCAUCAUCAGAAACAGCGAUCGCAAAUGAAAAGAGGCUGUUAUUGGGCGUAUCUUGUUCCUAUAAAAGUAAGAGAGGAAGGAACGGAUUAGCCGACAGUAGUGGGAAAUCGGUCGGAUUGGAUGUCGAAGGCCCUUACCUGUUUAAAAUGAAUUUUCUUCUGUUUGUGUUUGGGGGAUUGCUACCCUUGUCUCAGGAAUCAGCAUGGUUGGCUCGUCAGAAGAAGAAGACUCGACGGUGAUCGACGUUGUGUUUGGACCGGCUUCCUGAAAGUAACAAAAGGAGAGUCUCUAUAAGUAUGAAGCAAUAGUUAGAUCUAAGGAUGAGUACCAGUUACUUUACCUCUGUGAGUCGUCCGGCCGAUGACUGUUGGAAAGGUAUGAUUGAUGUACCCAGAGUGGCCUACAUUAGAAAUCGGUCAUUUUUGACUAAGGAAUAAGAGACUUGAGUAAGAUGUAUGUUCUUUACCUCAGCUGCAAGGAUUGCUGGUGGUUCGGUCUCUGCUUGGGAUGCGACCGAUUGCUGUGAGGUUUGCUCCGAAAGAAUUUGCGCAGCCUAACAAAAAGUGGAAAUUAAUACUGAUAGUAUACUUGGAGAAAUGUGAAGCAUAUAAAGUUACCUGAACAUCUUUUACCAAUAAGGAUGCAGCUGCUGAUCCGGCUUCCGUAGCGGCUUGGGGGUCGACCUCCUGGGCGAUCGGCAGAGUUGGUGUGGCUGAAGACUCGGCUGGUGGCACCGCCGAUUGAUCGGCCGGUUCUAUACGGGCGCGCACCCGGCGGCUUGUCUUCUUUGAAGAGGAUAUCUUCAUCUUCUGCUUCAAUCGGCCUGUGAUGAUAUCUUCGAUUGACGGGGACUGAAAGCCGAUGAUUGGAAAUGAAGUAUAUGGGUGGCGAUUCUCUAUCGGCCUGCCACUACAGUUGUGCGUUGGAGAGAGUUGGCUUUCAGACGACAAGAAAUGAGGGAAAUCAGUGGUAAUACUGUAAGAGUACGGUGUCAAAUCGGCCAGAAGGAUUGGUACCUCUGCAUUCGGAUCAAUGUUAGCGGGGUCCAGAUCAUUACAAUAUGUUGUAGGAGAUGUGCAGAAGAGGUGUUGUUUCCACUCACCCCACCAUAGCUUGAAUUGUUGGACAGCGAAGGGGGCCACAACCCAGUUGGCCAAUUCGAUGGUACUGGAAUCCGGCGUCAAGCUGCACAGCUGAUUGUAUUCAAGACCUUUAGAGAGCUCCUCCCGACACUUAACGCGGCCGGCAAAAUAAAUCUUAAUCGGCAUUUGUCUGAGGCCGAAUUGCCGCGCUGCCACUGAUGGGUUGUAGAAUUCAUAGGUUGGGGAGUCUUUUCCUGAGAAGAAGUUUGCUGGUAGGAUCCCAGGCUUGAUCAAAGUAUCCAUAAGCUCAUUAUCGAAGUAAUUGAUGGUUGAAUUGAAGCAGUCGGGGUUUUCAAAGAGUGGCUCAAUUCUCUGAUAUGGGUACCAGCUUGUAGUUUCUUCAUUGAAGCCGAUAUAGAAGCAUCUGAAAUACUCAGUUGUAUUUGUGGGGGUAAACUUGCUGCCAGGAGAAGCUGACGCUACCUCGCCAAGGAAGUGCAACGCCGUCUUAAUGUUGGGUUAUCCUCUGAUUCAAUAUUGGGGAAUGUCUUGGUCUCAACUCGUUCCCUGGAGAUCUUGCUCAUGUAUAAGUUGAGCCAGAUGGUGAUAAACCACCAGGGGCCACCAGAGUUCCCAAUCGGCUCUCCGGAUGACAGCUUGACUGCGAUUUGGUGCAUCAUAUGAUGAGCCAAUCCUAGCAGGUGUUUUCCUAAGGGGAUAGUAGAACCUUUUGCUAGGGCCUCGACCAGAGCCUGUGUAUUGGAGGAGGGGCCAACUGCUUUGCCACAGAAGAAGUGCUUCUCUAACCACAUCAUCAGGAAAGCUGUGUAUUCUCUAUCGCCGAUAGGACCGGUCUUCAUAUUUUUAUCAAUAUAGCAUUUCCACCUGCCGAUUCCCUUUGUUUCCAGGCGAUGGGUUGGUUUGAUCAGGAAAUUGAAGGGCAAGUCGGGGGAAGAGAUGUCAAGACCGGUCAGCAUCAGGACGUCGGCCAAAGUAGGGGUCAUGGGCCCAUGUCCAAAAAGGAAAACAUUGAGAGCGUCAGACCAGAAAUAAGAAGCUGCCAUGACCAAAGGUUCAUUCUUCUCCAUUUGAGACAGAUAUAAGUUUAUGCAUUGGCCGAUUUUUAGUUCAUCCCAAAGAACCCUCUAAGAAUUGGACAUCCUUUGAAACCACUCUUUCCAGCCAAGGGUUUCGUUCGGCCAAGAUCUAAAUGCACCUGUCCACUGGCUUAAAUCCAUUGGUGACUGCUUGAAAGGGAUCAUGUGGGUUUCCAGGUUGAUCAAUUCAGUGGGAUCUAGAUUCCCCAUGGGGCUAAGACCGACGAGGCCGGGUGCGUCAGAAACAGGGAUGGUGAUUUGCUGCCUAAGUUCCUAAAAAGGAUACAAAAGGAGAACUAAGAACAGAUCUAAAAGAUGCGUGAAUGGUGAAAAGUAAAAGUAAAAACUUUGGGAUAUUUACCUCUGGAAUGAAAGCCAUAGUCGCCUAUGGAGCCGCUAUUGGAGUAAACAGAAUAGGAUGGACGGAAGAUGAAGGAGGAAUCACCGUAGGAAUGCAGUUGGAAGAUGAAAGGGUGCCGAAAUGCGAUGGAAGAUGAUUCGCCGGGGAAAAAAGAGUUUCCCAGCUUGUGGAGAAGAAGCGGCGGAGAAUGCAAAUAUUUAAAGAUGGUUCGAGAGAAGGGUAAAGGUGGGAUUUUACCGCGCUGUCUGCACAAAUUUCGGGAAGAGCGGUUGCCUGCGAGCGCCUAGCUCGAAAAUUGUGAUCAUCAGAGAGAAGACCGCAGAACAGAAAGGAGCUUUCGCCGUGCCCGCCUCGGAGGAUGAGUUAGAGUUGAAAAAAAUUUGAAGCAAAAAGUUUCACUCUGAAACUUGGGGGCAUGUGUUGACGCCGGAUUUUGACACGUACUUGAAAUCGGCGUCAAAGAAGGAGAAAGGGGGGCCGAUGCGGCGGACUAGAAGCUACAGUUGGGAAUCGGCCGAUUGAAGCUACAGUGUUUCAGCCGAUUGGUGGAAGAAAUCGGUGGAGGCUGGCCGAUUGAGAGCCAAAGCAGUUUGGCCGGUUUGGGCCUAAGGUGGACCAGGAUGAAGAUUUGCUGAAGAGACAGGCCCGUGGGAAAAUAAUAACCAACUCGAAUAUGAGUCGUGUUUGUAACUAUUUGUUGUCGUUUGAAAUUAGAGAUAGAUUCUAGUCGGUUAUGAAAUCAGUUGCAACAGGCAAUAAUAGCUGCCUCGAGAGGCUUGUAAAAAAAUAACACACAAUCAAUAAAACAAAUUUACUCUUUCCUCGUACUUUACUUUCAAGUCGGCGACUUCGCCAAAACCUUUUUCUUUCACGAGUUCGUACGGAUUGGCAGGGCUGCAUCUACAUGAUCUCCGACCGAUUCUGUAAGUUCCGCUUAUCGAGUAAUAUCUAAGCUUUAACUUCGGGCGCAUCGCUGUUGUUUCAUUUAGAUUUAUUCACUAGUUAUCGAUAUCAACUACAGUCAUAGGUUUUACCUGUUAUUUUAGUUUUUAUCACCAAUUAUCCAGCUUGAGGUACGAGCUAUCGGCUUCUAUUAUUUUUAUCCUUUAUCAUCACAUAGCUGAUUAGAUCUACUCCAAGUGUUGCUUUUGUAGUGUUGUUUAGGUUGCUCUAGAAGUUUUCCUUACGAUUGCUACGUGAGUAUCGGCUGUCUUAUAGCCGGUCAUCUCUAUAGUAAAUCGGCCGAUUCGCUAAUACGCUCUUCAAGACAGAUCGGAACUCUAGCCGAUCGAAACCCCUAAAAUUUAAUAUUCUUCUUUCCUUUGUCAAUCAACAGGUCAGAUUGACUGGCACGCCGCGCGAACCGCACCAGGGCAAUAACCUGAACAGGAGCUAAGCAGAUUCUCCCGGGUCGUGUGUCCGACGCUGAGGGUCAUCGGCCAAUUUUCAGGGCCAACAACAGCUUUUGGGCAAAAGCAUAUAGGACUUUUAGGGGGUGUUUGGCAUGGCUCUAGAGCUGAACUCCGGUAACUCCAGCCAAUUUUCCAGCCAAACACCCUAGCUCCAAAACUCCAUGGAGCUGCAGUGCAAAUGGGAUGGAGUUUUGGCGCACCUCUUUUGUAGCUCCAAAACCACCUAAUAUGAACCUCCUCGUGGAGUUGGUGGGUAAUUAACCAUCAAUGCCACUGAUUAAAAUAAAAAUGAUUCACUUCUAUUUUCUCUCGAGACCCCUCCCCGCGCCGCCCGAGGCCUCCUGAUGCCGCUCUCCUGCGCCGCCGCCUAGCGCCGCCGACAGCUGCUGUCGCCGUCCGUGCCCCGCGUCCUGCGGGCUACCGCCUCGCCAUCCCCAUGAGCCCCCUGCACCGCCGUCAGAGCCGCCAGCCGAGCCGCUGCGGCCGGGUUUCCGCCGUCUUGCCGCCUCUUUCCUCAACUGGAGUGAGCCAUCAGCAGCAGCAGAUUCCCCUCGGCGAGCCACGCCCGUUUCGCCGGUUCCGUUGUCACCCUGCUGCCGGAGUGCCGCCGCCACCGUGAAAACCGCCCGCCCCCCGAUCUCCACCACCACGCUGACCACCUCCGUCCAUGCCCUCCGCCGGUGAGCACACCCGUAGAUUCCCCUCGACCCCCUCUUCCUCUUGCGCCACCUGCCCAAAACACCACCUCGCCGGAGCGCCAGCAAGCUAGCUGGCCAGAGCCCCGGUGAGAGGAGGAAGAAGGAACCUGGCUCUUUUGUGAUUGGGUCCUUGAGGAAAGCUAAAAUCUUUUGCUCUGUUCCUUGCUCCCGGCGAGAGGAGGAAGAAUAGUGGGCUUCUGUGGUGGAGGGCGAGAUCGAACCAGGAGUCAGAAUGUCAAUCUACCCUCAAACUCCUCUUUUCUGGAGUUGGGAACACCCUCCCAACCAAACACCUUCAUCAGACAGCAGGUUGAAAAGAGGCACAUGAGGCUCAGCCGCUUAGGCCCACGGGCAAAAAAAAAAAACUCUUACUUUAUGGCGGAGUAGUUGCUGUUCCAGUGUGCAGGUAAAUUGUCGCAAAUGCCCUCUUGUGGUCGCGUUGCAGUAGCCGAUAAGGCGUCCAAACGUGAGGUGCACACACCUGAUCUGAUCCUCUCAGUGGAAACGGGCCAGGUCCAUGCAACCCAGGACAGGAAGGCUCUAUACCUGGGCCGAACGGUAGCCCAAGAGGCCGACAGUAAGUGAGCUCACGGGUGACGAACGGCCCAGAAGCCGCCCCAAUCCGGCCACCGCCACUGAGCCGGCUCGACUAAACCGGAUCGCCACGCAGCCCGACCGCGCAGGCGUACUUCCCGAACUACCCCCGGAGAUUAUCCAAUCGGACGGCCAAGCGCCACGCACUGCCAAAGAAUUCCCCGAAAUGACCCUACUCUUCCCUUUGCCUCCCUCGCGUGCCGCCGGUUCUGCUCGACCGGACCAGCGGUUCAGGCGCCGAAUAUUCGCCCGCGGAUAUUUCUUGCCCGGUGCGUCAACUCCGCCGCUAUAAAUACCCUCAUAGGGCGGCCGCUAGGGUUUUAGUGCUUCUCUCCCGGCGGCGCCUCCACAUAUCGUCUCUCAGAUCGGGAGGCGAAACCAAGGUGACUGACCUCAUCCCCUUUCUCCUCCCUCCGUCUCUGGUUGCUAUAGCUAUUUCAUCCAUGCGCUGUCCUUAUAGCUGAUUAGUAUUUUUACUAGUGGAGUUCGAGUCGUUUUGGUUCCAUUCAGUAGUGCUUGUGUUGAUUGGAUUGAAUCGGAGGACUCGAAGUGGUUUGUGCUGCUCGAAUCGUAAGUUUGUUGGGCUAAUCUCGAUGGAAUUUAUGUCAAUUCGUUGGUUUAGUGGUCCUUGGCAGUUCUCUCUGUGAUAGGCCCGUCCGAUCUGUAGAGAUGCGGUGGAAUCCUGGUUUACUCAAAACGGUUCUAGAUUCCUCUGUUCUUCCCUUAUUUUUUGUUUCGAUUACUUAGUUUGCACGUUAGGGGCCUAUGAAGUUUAUGUGCUCGGAUCCUUUAGUGAAACUGAUCUGUUUACUCAGAUGUGCUCGGAUCCUUCAGUGAAACUGAUCUGUUUACUCAGAUCUGCUGGUAGCUAACAGGUUCAGGGUAGUUAUGUUGAUGGUCUAGUUUUGGUAGUUUCAUUGUCGAUUUCUGUCCAUUUUUGUCAUGUUCUGUCCAUAAAAAUACUAUCUGUGCUUCUUCAUAUCUUGUAAUAUGAAUUCAUUUGACAAACUAUGCAUUUCUUUUAGAGUGUUUGUCUAAAUUAAUCUUCUGGUAUAUCCCUAUGCCAGUCUGUUAAUAUGUCUGUAUUAUAGUGUUUUGUUUGAGGUGGUAAUGUACAUGGUGCACCCUGCAGUUUUUCAUGUCUAAUAUUGAAUCUCCUUGUUUGCUGUAUGUAUUAAGGAUUAGUUUCACUUCAAAUAGCUUACUGCUGAUGCUUUCUUGUUUGUUUAAUAUGCUGUGUAAUCAUGUUGACCCUGAGGUUUGUAAGAAUUCCUCUUAUUUGAUUAUUGCAUGGAUUAGUGUCCUGAAGGAUAUGGCUCCUUUGUACAAUUAAGAUAAUUCACUUUUUUUUCUCAACUUUUAUAUGCUUACUAGCCCAUUAGGUUGUGUAAACAUUAGAGUGCUUUAGCCUGGUAAAGAUGAGUUAAGCAUUUUAAAUAAAUUUUUGGAUUUGGUUGAUAUCAUCCUUAACACCUGCAUUUAAACAAUUUGUCUCUUUUGAUCCUGACUAUUACAGUGGGUGUUACUUUCUUUAGUCAUUCUGUGGUAUCAAAGUUUCUGGUGUAGUUGUGUAAUUAUGGUUUUGGUUGGAUUCUUACUAGUAUUUUCUACCUUUAAACAGCAGGAAAUUAUAUACAUAUUUGUAGUGUGAUCUUCAUAAGAAGUCAAGAUGGUGAAGUUCACAGCGGAAGAGCUCCGUGCCAUCAUGGACAAAAAGAACAACAUUCGUAAUAUGUCCGUUAUUGCUCAUGUGGACCACGGUAUGUUAAGAACAGUGUUUAAUUAAAUGUUAUGCAUACCUGUUCCUCGACAUUUUUCAGGCUUUUCAAUUUUAGCAAUUGUUUUUUUUCAGUAUUAAAUCUCUGAAUUGUUCUUGCCAGUGAAUGCGAUUCAUGCUGCGUUAGCUAUCACAGACCUAUUUUACAUAUGUAGAAAUAUUCAUUUCAUGUUGGAAAUAGGCUUAUUGUUCUUUUGUAAUUAAUGUAUUGGUUUAUCUCUAGAUAUUGCAGUGUAUAGUAUCUGUUUACUAUGUGUUUUAUAUUGGGAUGUAUUGUUGUCUUUGUUAACUUGUGAGAGGUUGUCUAUCCCUAAUGUUGUACUAUUCUUGAUGCAUCUUCGGACUGACUUUUAAGUUCCACACUAUAGUCUUACAUCUCAUUAAUUCUUUGCAGGCAAGUCUACCCUUACAGAUUCCCUUGUGGCAGCUGCUGGGAUUAUUGCCCAGGAAGUUGCUGGUGAUGUCCGCAUGACUGAUACACGUGCAGAUGAAGCAGAGCGUGGUAUUACAAUCAAAUCCACCGGUAUUUCUCUGUACUAUGAGAUGACUGAUGAGUCACUGAAGAGUUACAAGGGUGAGAGAGAUGGUAACCAGUACUUGAUCAACCUUAUCGACUCACCUGGGCACGUUGAUUUUUCUUCGGAAGUCACAGCUGCCCUUCGUAUCACCGAUGGUGCUCUAGUGGUGGUUGACUGUAUUGAAGGUGUCUGUGUGCAAACUGAAACUGUGCUCCGCCAGGCUCUUGGUGAGAGGAUUAGGCCAGUGCUUACUGUGAACAAGAUGGACAGGUGUUUCCUUGAGCUUCAGGUUGAGGGUGAGGAAGCCUACCAGACUUUCUCCCGUGUCAUUGAGAAUGCCAAUGUCAUUAUGGCAACAUAUGAAGAUAAGCUCCUUGGUGAUGUCCAAGUCUACCCGGAGAAGGGAACUGUUGCUUUCUCUGCUGGUCUGCACGGCUGGGCCUUUACCCUCACCAACUUUGCCAAGAUGUAUGCUUCGAAGUUUGGAGUUGAUGAAACUAAGAUGAUGGAGAGGCUCUGGGGUGAGAACUUCUUUGACCCAGCCACAAAGAAGUGGACCACCAAGAACACAGGCUCUGCUACCUGCAAGAGAGGAUUUGUUCAGUUCUGCUAUGAGCCAAUCAAGCAAAUCAUCAACACCUGCAUGAAUGACCAGAAGGAUAAGUUGUGGCCCAUGCUUCAAAAGCUUAAUGUUACCAUGAAGUCUGAUGAGAAGGAAUUGGUUGGCAAGGCUUUGAUGAAGCGUGUUAUGCAAACUUGGCUUCCAGCUAGUACUGCACUGCUUGAGAUGAUGAUAUUCCACCUUCCUUCCCCAUCAAAGGCACAAAAGUAUCGUGUGGAGAACUUGUACGAGGGACCCCUUGAUGAUAUCUAUGCUACUGCUAUCAGGAACUGUGAUCCGGAGGGUCCUCUUAUGCUGUAUGUUUCUAAGAUGAUUCCAGCAUCUGACAAGGGCAGGUUCUUCGCCUUUGGUCGUGUCUUCUCUGGGAAGGUUGCUACUGGUAUGAAGGUUAGGAUCAUGGGUCCCAACUAUGUCCCUGGCCAGAAGAAGGAUCUGUACGUCAAGAGUGUCCAGCGUACUGUUAUCUGGAUGGGAAAGAAACAAGAGUCUGUUGAGGAUGUUCCUUGUGGUAACACUGUUGCUAUGGUUGGUCUGGAUCAGUUCAUCACGAAGAAUGCUACACUCACCAAUGAGAAGGAGGUUGAUGCAUGCCCAAUCAGAGCAAUGAAGUUCUCUGUCUCCCCUGUUGUGCGCGUUGCUGUUCAGUGCAAGGUUGCCUCUGACCUACCCAAGCUCGUUGAAGGUUUGAAGCGUCUGGCAAAGUCUGAUCCUAUGGUCCUCUGUACAAUUGAAGAAUCUGGUGAGCAUAUUAUUGCUGGAGCUGGUGAGCUUCACCUUGAGAUUUGCCUGAAGGAUCUGCAGGAAGACUUCAUGGGUGGUGCUGAAAUUAUUGUUUCUCCUCCUGUUGUCUCUUUCCGUGAAACUGUUCUUGAGAAAUCCUGCCGAACAGUCAUGAGCAAGUCCCCCAACAAGCACAACCGUCUUUACAUGGAAGCCCGUCCCUUGGAAGAGGGUCUCCCUGAGGCUAUUGAUGAGGGCCGCAUUGGUCCACGUGAUGAUCCCAAGGUUCGCUCCAAGAUCCUCUCUGAGGAGUUUGGUUGGGACAAGGAUCUUGCCAAGAAGAUUUGGUGCUUUGGACCUGAGACCACUGGCCCGAACAUGGUUGUUGAUAUGUGUAAGGGAGUGCAGUACCUCAAUGAAAUCAAGGAUUCUGUUGUGGCUGGCUUCCAGUGGGCCUCAAAGGAGGGUGCACUGGCUGAGGAGAACAUGCGUGGCAUCUGCUUUGAGGUCUGUGAUGUUGUUCUUCAUGCUGAUGCAAUUCACAGGGGUGGUGGCCAGGUCAUUCCAACUGCCAGGAGGGUUAUUUAUGCUUCUCAGCUCACUGCCAAGCCAAGGCUGCUCGAGCCAGUUUACCUUGUGGAGAUCCAGGCCCCAGAAAAUGCACUUGGUGGUAUCUAUGGUGUUCUGAACCAGAAGAGAGGGCACGUGUUUGAGGAGAUGCAGAGGCCUGGUAC
This 69192-nucleotide long non-coding RNA is filed under the name Setaria viridis. RNAcentral's name for it is "long non-coding RNA (SVIR_LNC006068)". The record is from RNAcentral. Lineage: Eukaryota; Viridiplantae; Streptophyta; Magnoliopsida; Poales; Poaceae.